GAGAGAAAGAGUUUCUCCUCCAACACAGAGAGAGAAAGGAGAGACUUUGGCUAGGGAUUAAACAAUUUUAUUUAGAAUGAACAGGGUUCAUCUAAUUACCUAAUUAAGAAUAAUUUUUUUUGAAUAGUGAUAAUAUUAUUGAUCCAAAAGCUAGAAUGCCAUAGUAAGUCUUGAUCUGAAUUGGAAAAAGACUCUUUUUAAUAUCAGAUUCCCAAUCUCUUCUUAUUACCAGAACCAUUGGCAAAAUCAAUGAGGCAAAUUCAUCUUGACACUUAUAUUUGAGUCAAGAUAAACAUCAAAUUUUAGUUUUAAUGUAUUUUGUUAUUCUUUGUGAUAAAUAAUAUAUUAUUGUGAAAUAGUAGUACUCAACAGAAAAAUAAAAUAUUAUUAUUUGGAGCCUUAUUAAUUUAUCCGAUUUUAAAGGUUCCGGGCUUGCUUCUAAUUUAUCCGAUAUUAAAUAUUAUUAUUAAUGGGAUUCAUCUGUGUUAAUCUCAGGACAGUUGCGGUUGUAGGUAGAGAACAAUUGCUUCUAAUCAGUAAAAAUGUCUUUAAGACUUAUCCUUCGGGCAGAAUAUAGUUUGUUUUUGGUUCUGUUUCAUGUUGACAGAAACCUUUUGGAUUCAAAACUAAAAAUGUUCUGGUAAUCAGGUUCUGUUAGUUGCAAUAUUCCAUGUUUUGGGUGGUUUACCCUUUUCCCUUGUUUCAUGGUCUCCCUUUUUAGCAGAGAGACAAAAUUGUGCUUUAGUUAUAAAGGCUACAGGAGAAAGCUCUGACUCUUCCACCCAUGGGUGGAUUCAGGAAUUUUUUUCAAUGGUGCUAUAAUUAAAACAAUUAUUAAAAAAAUAAAUAUUUUAAAAUUCAUAAAGUAGAAGUUUUAACAUUAAAUUAAAGAAAAUAUAAAUUCAAUACAUUCAUUUAAUACUGCAAAGUAAAAAUAUUUUAAAAAAUCAUAAUUAUUCACGAUGAUUUUUUAUAUUUUGAAAACGUUGUAUGAUAAUAUCAGUGGCCCUUUUUGCAAAUAUGCUCUUCUAAUUUUAUCUUGAUCAUUAAGAUCAGACUUAGAAAUUUUUUUCUUAAAUCCAGGAUCUGCUGGAAUGGUACUUAAAUCAAAUUCAAUACAACUUUACUUAGAUAAUUGUUGACUACAAUCAUUAGUAGAAUUUUGUUGUUGUUGUUGCUUGGAAUCUGAUUCUUGUGGGAUAAUUUUUUUUCUUUCAAAAUAUCUUUCCAUGGCUUAUUUAUCUAAAAUAUAAAAACUUGUUAAAAAUUACUACUCAUUAGCAUAAAUUAAAAUAUUAAAAUUAAAUAAAAUAUGAUCUUACAUAACAAAUUAUCAAGUUCAACAACUAAUGAUAUGACAAUUUUCUAUUCAUUGAUCAAAACUAAAUAUAACAAUCUACAAACCACAUAAAGUUAAAUACAAAAAUCAAAUAAUUAAUAUCUACAAAAUAAAUCAAAAUAAAAAAGACAAAUAAUUUCAACUAUCAAAUUAAUCAAAAAAUGUUUAGACAUAAAAUAUUUAAAAACUUAACUUGGAUUGAAAAUUACUUACAAACGAAGUUUAGUUGGGUUGUUUUGAGAGAAUGAAAAACACAGCCAAAAAUCGAGAAGAGAAAAAUCACUAUAAAUCUCAAAAGUAAGAUUAGAAUUUUUGAAGGGGAGAGUAGUUUAGAUUUUAAUUUUUUUAAUAAAAUCUUAAAUUAUAAAAGAAAAUUUUUUAAUCUUUUCAUGUAGAAUUUAAAUAUUAAUAUAUAAAUUAUUUUUUGAUAAAUUUACUUUUUGAUAAACUUUAAAUUUUUUUAAAAAAAUUUAAAUAUUAUUAAUCUAUAAAAUUUUUGAUAAAAUCUUCCUUUUCACCCCAUUUCUUACCAAAUUGUAAAAAAUAAUGAGUUCAUAGUAUGAUUAAAUAUAUAAAAUUCUAAAAAAAUAAUAUAAUAAAUAAAUUUUUUUUAAUUGAGUGGUGUCUUGUGAUACCACUCACAUAUACAUGGGUCCGCCCAUGCUUCCACCACAGUUAAUAUUGUUAAGUCCGUUCAAAAUGUUUGGGAUAAAUCUAAUGAAGAUAGGGUAGGUCUCAUUGGACCGGGCUUUGCAGCUAUAUAGGCCCUGUGGCCAUCAACAAAUUUGGCGUCGGCUGUCGACAAAUUGCCGCUUAUUCCAAAUGUGCUAGAAGUUAUUGGAAUACUGUUUUCAUCGUUCUUGCUCAAACCUGAUCGAGAAGAACUGUUCCAAAUCAUCAACAAGUCAAUAUCAGAAAUUUUUGGACCGUAUUUACAUGUAGUGGAGGUUGUAAUUUCUGAACAUAACAGAUAGCCAACCCCGCAGUUGGUAUAUGGUUUGUGUUGCUGUGAUAAUUGAAAUAUGGCGGCAUCUUCAUAGUGUAAUCUUUUUGUAUUAGUGUGAAGUGUGAAGUGUGAUGUGUGAUGUCCAGAGUCACUAUCCAUAGAAACAACCAAAGCGUAUGUCUGUAGAUGUCAUGGGCAGGUCACAGCGUCACUGUUUCCCCAUGGUGCCAUAUGAAAAUUUUCGACUCAAGUUCAAUUUUUUUAAAAAAAAGAAAGAACGUUCCGGGUUUACCUAAGUAUUUUCCCAUCACAACUAAACAAGAGCUGCAUGCAUAAGGAUUUUCUUAUCACAACUAAUGAACAAUAGAACAGAACAAAAGUGUUCCUUUUUCUAAUUAGAAAAUUAUAUUCAUGAUUGUUUGUGCAUGGUUAAGACUUAAAAGAGUGUAUCACGUUGCCUAUUUAAAGAAAAAACAAAGAAAAAGCUGGAGAACAAUUAUGUGGUUCUAGCAGCGUAUUGCUAUAGUUAUUACAUAUAAUUUAAUUACAUUUGAAAAAUAAUUAAAUGUUUUAAAUCAAAUAAUCUUCCUUAACAAAUUAAUGUUGUCCAAAUGGCGAAGUGUUUGCUAAAAAAUAAAUUUUUUUUUCGAAAGAAACACAUCGCCGUCUGGUUGACAUUGGUUCACUCAAAGAAUUUGUUAAGGAAACACAAAUUUUUGCUAAAUAGUCAAUGCUACAAAGACAUGAGCAGGGGGAAUUUGGGUUUGUCUUUUUGCUAAAGAAACGAACGCGUUUCCUCAUGGGUGACUCAAUAAGCUUAAAAGGCUGAAGUGAUUAUUAUAUAUUUCUUAAAUGAUUAAUAUAAAUCAACAAUCAAAAUUUUUAAUUUAAAUAAAUCAAUUAUUAUAUAAAAUAAAAAAAUAUAAUAAUAUAAUAUAAACUCUAAUUUAAAGUAAAAAAAUCUAUAAAUAUUAUAAUAAUAGUACUUAACUGUUGAAUAUUUAUUACAAACUAUAAAUAAGACCCACAGUUUCAUGAUAAAAAUAACAUAACAGAUUUCUUAUUUAUUAUUUAAAAAAAAUUGAAAUUAAAAAAGAAAAAGGAAAAAAAAGUAAAUGAAAAAAAAAUUAAAAGUAAAUAUUAUACAUUGAAAAAAAAUAAUUGAUUUUAUAUAUAAGAAAAAAUUAGUUGUUGAUAAUUAUUAAAUAUGUUAAUUGAAAAUAGAAAAAAUAAGUAAAUAAAAAAUAGCUGUUGGAAAUGAUUAAAUACAUAUAAUCGUUAGUUGAUUGAAAAUAAAAAAUAUAAUUAAAAAUUAAUAGUAUUUUAAAAAUUAAAAAAUGACAAAAAAAAUUAACAUUUAUUAAACACAUAAUUAAAAAAAUAAUUUUAUUAAUUAUUAAUUAUUUUUAUAUAUUUUUAAUUUUUAUAUAUUUUUAAUAUAAUUAAUUAUAUUAUAAAAUUAUAGAAUUUUCCCAAAUUUAAGGUCUCUCUAUAUUGAGGGCCCAAUGCCCUUGCUUGGGUGGCUUCACCCAAGGGCCGGCCUUCCUUAUAUCUCAUGACCACGAACAGUACAAUGCCGUAAACAGUUCCCAGUGAAACCAUUCAACGCGCUCUGUCUCUCUCAAAUUCUUAAGAAAUAGAAUAAUGAAGCAUGGUGAACAAACCCUAGUUCAAAUUUCAGCUAGGCAUCAAUUUUAAUUUAAAAAUUUAAGUUCCAUUUGGUUAAACUUUUUAAAUUUAAAGUUUUUAUUUAGUUAUUUGUUAAAAUAUAUAGUACAACAUAUAUAAUUUUUUAGAUGAUAAAUGCCUGAUUCUAAUUUCAUAUAAACUAUUAUAGUUGGUGCUAUUCUUUUAAUUAUUUGUCAAUUUUACUUUAUUUUAGUUUUAUAACAAAUUUUCAGAAUGAUAAAAAAUAAAUAACAAGAAGUAAGUAACAAAAGUAUUAGCUAAAUUGAGCUUUAAUUAUUCUUCAUGAGUUCUUUUUCUUUAAAUAACAAGCAGCUUUACCUUGAUUGAAAGGAAGCUACCUGUUUUAACUUUCUAGAUUAUUGGGACCACUAAGUGUCAUUUUUCAGAAAAAGCGGCACUGACGAUAAUUAGUCAGUUCUGGGGUUGAAUUUCUAAUUCUGGUUGAAAAACUAUGAACUUUACUAGUCUUUGUUCCAGUAAUCCUAUUCCCAAUAAUUCUCUAUAUAUACCCUCUUCUCUAUCCCCAAGUACCAAGCAAGACAGAGAACUCAGGGAAUAUGUGCAUCAAUUCAACCAACCAGCACCCUGCAAGGUCAGUUUCCGUCUAUAUGAAAAUUAAUUUCAAUGUUUGAGUCAUAUUCUUAUGUGAGGAGUAAUUCAGUAGAACCUAGAAGUAGGCCAAGUUUAAGUUUUGAGUGUAUCAGUGUCUUAUUAUUACUUAAUUCAGUUGAGAAGAUUCCUCACAUAUUAUCAUUAGAGUUAGUAUUAGAUAUCAUGUUUGAUAAUUGUAACCGCUUCUUAUAUGCUAGCAAUACAGCAUUCUUAGUAAUUGCUAUUAUAAUCCUUCGGGUGUUUUAAUCAUAAAGCCUGUUUCUCGUUAAAUGUAACUCAUUUUUUUACUUGUCGACAGAGAAAACAAGCAAGUAAGAAAUUUUUCCUACGUUGUAAUGUUUAUCAUAAGUACAUCAUGUUUACUUCUGCAGAUAAAAUACCGAGGAAGAGAAGAGUCUCCCUUCGACACGCACCAUCAACAUAUGUUGGCCUUCUCUACUACUCUUUUCAUAUGGGUUUUGGUAAAGGUCAUCAAAAUGAAUCCCCCAGCAAGUUACCAUCUCAUUCUCAAUGCCAUUGGUCAAUUCUCCCUAUCUUUUGUACCAAUCCCGAUUCUUUUAAUCGUCGUCCCACUUAUCGGGUGGCUUAGUUUCACCCUUUGGGUAGUUUGUUUUGUGAACACUGUUAAAAAGCACUCUACACAACUCUUAAGAUGGUUUAACCCUGCUAAAUUCCCUAUGUUUAGAAUAUGGAAAUCCUUGAUAAAUCAGAAAUUCCUAUUGAGUGGCCACUUAACUGGUGAACGAAGGAGUCUGUCAGUCUAAAAUCAAUCUUAUUUAAGUUCUUAUAUCAGAUUCAGAUCAAUAGAUCAUCGACUGGCAACUGAUUCGUUGCAUCUGUAAGAUGCCGAAGCCUCUGCUGUCAGAACAUAAAGUUUCAAAAUUUUCAGAUGAUUUCUCCAAGAACUUAUCAGCAGCUUUCUCAGUCUGAUGAUAUGUGACUGGCGAAGGCUCCCACUUUUGUGCAGCAAACAGGGGACUGGCUGAUGUUUAUAAGAUGUUAGCAGGAAAACUUAGUCCAGAAAUAACUUUGAAUCGGUACUGAGUCACCAUAUGACAGAGGAAGAAAACCCUUUAUUGGUAUUCAGAUUCGUGAAUCAUCAAUUGUUAACAAAACAAAUUCAUCUCAACAAUUAGAUUUGAGUCUAGAUAAGUACCAAUUUUUAGUUUUCAUAUAUUGUUUGUUUUUUUUUUCUUUACAUGAAAGAUAAUAAAUUGUUGUUAAAUGUUAAUAUUUAAUUUAGAGUGUGGAGCCCUUUUUUUCCAAUAUCAAUUGGUUGUAUAAAACUUAUGAAUUAUCAUUUAUCAAGAUAAACUCUAUAUUAACGCUUUGGGAGCACGACCAUUGCUGAAUAAACAGAGCAUGAAUCAUUAAAGGUUCUGGGUUUUACAUAAGUUUAUGUUCCUAUGAAAACUAAAGAGGAGCUGUUAUUUUGAGUUAUUGUUGACUGACACUCUUGCCUUGGUUUUUUUCACUGUUAGUCUGAGCUCCAUUUCUGGUGAAGUUCUUCCUUGUUUGUCUCACCAGUUGUGGGCUGAUUUAGCUUAGGCGGGUUAGUUUCAGGACGCCACUGUCACAUUUUUGGUUUGGGAUGGUACGUUGAGUGCUUGAAGGAGGAGUGGGGCGGGGAAGGGGGCCAUUGGAGUGCUGUUUUUUUUUUGUGGUUGUUGGGUCUGUUUUGAUUCUUGUGGUCUGGGGUCUUGCGGUUUGUGCCCUUUAUGUCUGAUCAACUCCUGGGAUUGAGAGUGGGUAGAGGUUUUUUGGGGUUUGAUGUUUUGUUGGUUUAUGCAUUUUGAGGUGAGGUGUGGAUGCUUCAGUGAAGGUUCGGAUCUUCACUGUUUCGAGGGUGCGUGGUAUGUUUCCUUGUCUGCUUGAUCACGAUUCCUUGGACUGCGGUGGCAAUGACUUUUCUUCCUGAGCCUUGGUGUCUUCCUUGCAUGUGGCUUGGCUGAUGACCCUUUUGGUGCUUCUUGAUGGUCCUAGUCUGGGGUGGUCUGGUUCACUCCUUGAGAGGAAUUCUUCGUAUGAUUUCUAGGUCCUUCACUGCAAAGUCUGCUCUUCACGAUCGCUUCUCUGUGGGCUUCUCUUGAUGCUGUUUCGUGGAAGACUUGGAAGCUGUUGUAGCGAGUCUUACCCCCUGAAGGACUGAGAUGCUGCUUCUCUUCCUCCAUCACAAGAGGGCUGCUUGAGAUUUCAACGCUCUCUCCGUUUUGUUAGGCUUAUCUAUUCCUAAUGCCAGUUAGGUUUGGCUGCUCCCCUUGAAGUCUUCUGUUUCUGUUUAACGUAGCAAAGUUGCUAUACGCAGUGAAUCUUUUGCAAUGACUAUGAACAGGGGCGGAGCGUCCCUUUACACACUGUCUCCAAAAAUUUUAAAAAUUUUUAUAUAUUAAAUAUAUUUUUUAAUGAACCUCAAAAUAAUUUUUUAUUAAAUUAUUAAUACAAUAAGUUAUAUAUAUUUUUCAAUAAAUCUCUAAAAUAAUUUUUUUAAAAUUAUUAAUACAAAUAAAAAAUAAUAAAUGAUUUUAUAAAUCCAUUUAACUUUAUCUUAACUCUUAAAUUUUUCCUUUUAAGUUUCUUCACAUUUCUUUCCAUUUCUUUCUCUUCUCUUUUGUCUUUUCAUUGUAAAAUUACAAAGAGGAAAAGUUCUUUUUAUCUUUCUUUUUUUAUUUAUAUUAUUAUUAUUCGUUAUUUAUUUUUUUCAAGUCUAUUCUAUUUAAUCAUAUGUUUUAAGUUUCUAUAAUUUUCUUCUUCAAAGUUUUAUGAAUCAUCUACUAUAUUCUUUUUUUUUUUUUGUUAUGUAGUUCUAUUUUCUACUUGUUAAUUUUUUUUGUUAUAUGUUCUCAAUGAUUUUAGUCUUUAAAAAUUAAAAGAUUAUUAUAUAAUUCUUAAAUAUCCAUUGUAGAGUUGUAUGAUUGUUUGUUGCUUAAAAUUAGUGUUGCAUUAUUGAUUGUUACUUAAGAUUUCAUCAAUAUAUCAUUUUUUAUUAAUUUUGAUUAUAUAAGAUAUUUUUUUAUGUGUUUUAUGUUUUAAAUUUAGUUGAAAGGAAAUUAUCUUUGAGUAUUUAGUCUUUAGACAAUAUUGAUUAUGUAAGAUGAAAUUAUUAAUCUUGUAUGUUGUAUUUAAUUGUUUAUAUUUUAUACAUUAUUCCUCUUCAUCUUUGACACUCCUAAUAAAAAUUAACUAGCUCCGUCCCUGAUUAUGAAUAUCAUGCUCUAUGUUGUAUAGUUUAGAGUUCUUUAGGUUCUGCUUUUUGAUAAUGCUACCAUUCUCUUGAGUAGCAGACUAUUGAUGUUAAACUUACAGUUUUAAUACCGCAACGAGUCUUUUGAAGCUCUUAAGCCUCGAAAUGGCAUUGAAGUCGUGAUCAACAAAAUUCACUUUUUUAAAAAAAGAAAACCAAAGGAGCUGCAUACAUUAGGAUUUUCCUACCAUAACUAAUGAACCAUAGAACAGAAAAAAAAGUGUUCUCUUCUUCUAAUUAGAAAAUCAUAUCCCUGAUUGUUUGUUCAUGGUUAAGAGUAUACCAUGUAACAAUUCUAUAUGGACAAACCAAAAGAUGCCUAUUAAAAGAAAAAACAAAGAAAAAGCCAGCAAAACAAUGUGGUUCUGAUAGGGUAUUGCAAUGGUUACAACAUGUUAUUCCAUGGUACUCAGACCACCCUUCUGAUCAGCUGCAAAAUUGAUGUAACUUGUGUAUACUUGUAGAAAUAACCAAUUUUGAUGCAUUUUUGCCUUUUCCUUUUCCCUUUUUAGUUGCUAACCAGCUACCUUGGUACAGGGUUGUUGUUACUGGAUGGAAGCAGAUGCACACUGUAGAUACUUGAUUUUGGUUAAUACUUAUUCUCUAAAAAAUUAUGUUACAACAUAAUGUUGUACAGAAAACAACUAGAACAAGUGUAGUGCUACUUCAUACAGAAUAACUAGAACAAGUAAAGCGCUACUUCACGCAGAACAACUAGAACAAGUGAAGUACUACUUAAAGCAGAAGAAUUAAAAUAAGUAAAGCAUUACACCAUAUGAAACAAUUAAUACAAGUAGAACAGCUACUUCGAAUAGAAUAACCACUUCACUUGGAUGACAGUGAAAGCAACUUGGAAUAAGUGAUAGGGUUCAUGAGUUACUUUCAUCUUAUGAUGUUCUAGACAGUUUGGCUUGAUGGCUCAGAUAUGGAGGUAGUUAAGAGGUCUUCCUCUUAACCCUUUCCUGAAGUACAAGUGUUUCACCCUUCUACCUUAUUCUCGUAUACCUAUUUAUGUACAGCUUCUUCUCUUAUACCUGUUCUCGUACAGCUUCUUCUUUUGUAACUUUUCACGUAUAUCUCUUUUCUAGUACCUUUUACGUGAAAAACAAGUCUUAUUACAUCCAAUUACAGUAACGGUUACUCACAUUAAUGUUCUACAUAAUAAUGUUAUUUAUUAGGCGCAUUAAAACCUAUUCUUGAGUAACUGUUAUUUUUAACACUAUAUAUAGAGCUUCACAAUUCAUUUGGAGGGACCCUUCUCUCUUCUUCUGAACUAACACAUUCUCAGCUUGAGAGCUUCUCUCUCUAAAUUAUUUAUAUAAUUCUCUUAGUGUUCUCUUUCACCUAUCACGACAUUCAGUACUUCAAGAACUGCUCCAAUCUUCUUUUUUACUUGUUUACAACGCUUACUCUCCUUAUCACAAAACUCCCUUUACACACACACUCCAGCUUCAGAUUCUCUACCAUAUAUAUAUAUAUUCAAGUAUCCAUUUUUAAUGACGGUAAUAACCUUUAGCUUAAAGACAAAUAGAGAGCAAGGCAAGUGCAUGGGGAAUAAAAGUCUAUAUAACAUAACCAUAAAUUUCAAAAAUGGUUGCAAGAUGUGGCAUCGGAUCUUAACAUUUCGAUUGUAAAAGAUGUCCAAAAAAGUAGUAACUGCGUACAUGUUCACCAUUUCAGUCUUACAUGGACCAAGGUCGAACCAUACAAUAGCCAAAAGUUGAGUAAGGCUGUAAUAUCUUGCACAAACACCAUCAAUUUCACGAAGGAUAUAGAUUUUGUUUUUAGAAGCAGCAAAAUCAAAGACGUAGAACAUGGGGCUUGACAGUUGGCUGUUAUGGAUUGGACAUCUCCUUUAAGAAGUGCACUUUGCCGCCAGUGCCAAUAAUAGGCAUUCCGUAUCACCCCCAAUUCCAAAAGAAUAAAGAAUGAAAAGCUGUCUGCACUCUGGCAACAGGCGCCAGGCCGUGAGCUUGAAAUUAUUUGGGCUGGGCUGGUUUCUUAGACACGAUCAAAAUUCGAAGGAAUACAAACGAAGUACGUUAAACAAAACUCUUGGUUUGGGUCUAGACUCUAAAGCAAAUACGGUACUAAUUUCUGAAAAUGGGUCUAGAGAGGAAAUCCUAAUCCUUAACAGUUAACACGCACUCGAUCGAGCAGAGUCAAGAUUUUUCCAAGUACUUUAUUUAUUACACCAGACAGAUGGUUAAGCAACCAAGUUUAAUGAUAUCAACGAUUGCUCAAGUGUUUAAAGGACAAAGUAAAAAUGAAUCCUUGAUGCUAAGAAGCAGAAGGCAAUGGCUAUCAGAAGGGAAGUUUCACUCUUGGUAUUCAAAUUUUCUUUAUUCCCAGUAGCGAAAAGUAAAUGAGACACCAAAAUCUUUAUUUGUAUAAAUGAUAAAUUAAUAUAUAUAUAUAAUUUAAAAAAUUGUUAAACCAAAACAAAUUUGAACCAAAGAAGAUAAAAAAUGAAGUCUAGAAAUAGACGAGGAUAAAAACUAAAUUUCCUUUGCUUUUGCUUACCACUAUCCCUUGGUCUAACUGUUUUCUUUACGUACGACAAGUCUUUUUUCUCGUUCUUCUUUGUCUAUGCGGACACUCUUCUAUUUUAUUAUUGUUAUUAUUAUUAUUAGAAAGAAUUUCGUGCUUUACCACGGGUCUAUAAAUAUUUUUAAACAAUCAAUGUAAAAAAAAAAAUACAACGCGAACUGUUUUAACAUUUAAUUUUUAGUCAAAAAAAAUUAUAAUAAAUUUAAUAUUAUUUUAAAAAUAAUAAAAAAUUUAUAUUUAUAAAAAAUAAAAUUUACAUCAUCUUGUCUUUUCUUUUGCACGGAAAUUAAUGAUGAUGUAAAGUCAUGUUAAAUUUUAACUAUUAUUAUUAUUUUGUUUGACUAGAGAGAAAGAGACUUUGGCUACACAUUAAAUAAGUUUACAACGCUUUAUACAUAUAAAAUUAAAAUUACCCCUAAUUUAUACACAAAUUUCCUAACAAUACCAAUCUCUUAAUUAAAACCCCGAAAUGCCCUCCAUACAAAGACAAAUUACAAUGUCACAUGCCAUUCUCUAAAAAUCUUUUGUAUGUGAAAAUCAUAAUACUUAAAAUAAUAUUAACCACGUGGCAUCCAAAGAAUGUCACAAUUUUACAACUCUUUCUAAGUCGGUUAAGCGCCCUUUCUAAAGCCAACCCAACUCAAAUCUGGUCAAGGUUAGCGCUUCCUGUCACUCUCAAAUUCUUUAGAAUUGGAAACUGAACAAUGUCUUCAAUUUUUAGCUAGGCAUCAAUUUUAAUUUAAAAAUAUUAUCAUGCAUAUUAUUAUCAACAAUUGCAAGUAAGAUGACAUUAAAAUGUGCCCCACUCACAAUUUUCUUUGCUUUUGAAGAUGAUAAAGAAAAGGAAGGGAUGAAUUUACAAAAAACGAUAUUAAAAAAAUUAAGUUGUUUAGGAAAAAGAAGGGGGGUAGAAUUAGGUAUAUGUAAUUUAAUGGCAAUGAAAUAGAGAUUAAGUGGAACAAAAUUGACUCGGUGGUAGAGUUGUGGAAACACCUGUUUUAUUUUUUUUCAUAUUUUGGACCUUAACUCCGUGGAACAAUAUCCUACCGCUGAUGUUAUACCAACCUGAAUUAACUGUGGAAAAAAUAAUUAUAGGUGAUUUUACAUAGAGACUGGAUAAAGGCCCAUGAAACAAGGGUUUCUCAUGAAAAAAGAGUUUCUCAUGAAAAGGGCAUAAUUAAAGGGUAAAAUCAAGCAUUGUCUACAAUUAGUCAACUAUUUUUUUUCUUGUCUGCCAUUUUUGGUGUAUGUUUCUGGACUCGCAUCCAGUGACGUCAAAGCAGAACGAGGGUGUAAGAACAAGUUAGAAGAACGUCAAACAAGUUGCCUGCGACUUGGGCAACACCAUUGACUCGCAUCCAGUGACGUCAAAGCAGAACGAGGGUGUGAGAACAAGUUAGAAGAACGUCAAACAAGUUGCCUACGACUUGUGGGCAACACCAUUUUCUCGGAAUUGUGGGACGCUCUCUUUUUUUUUUUUUGUGGGCCAUACUUUGGAGUUUAUAAAAGGCCCGGCGGAUGUUGGAGGAAAAUCACGACUGAAAAUGGGCAUCAACUACUCGAGCAACCAUCACUCGCAGAGGUGAGUUCCUAUUCAGAAAUUUCGGCACCCUCAUUAUAUAUAUAGUUAGUACUACUUUGGAGUUCAGACCUUUGCCCUUUUCUAUAACUUUUUGUUUUUUCCCAAUAAUAACAACAAUCUUUCAUGGGCUAAGAUUUUUCUCUCUCUAGGAGGUGAGUGUCUCUGUGUGUGUGUGUGUGUGUAUGGUUUUUUUUGUUUGGGGAGUUUCGACUUUCAAUUUUGGUUUUGUUUUCUUUUCCAUUUGUGUUGUCCGGGGAGAGAUUAAAGCUAGAAGAUGCAAUGAAGGCAGAGUUUAAAUUUGAACACUUCUGCCCUUUUUUUUAGCUUCUUAGUUUCAAAUUAAGGUUGUAUUUGUGUCAUACCCUUUGUUUUUAGCUUCUUUGUGUCCUGUUUAGUGAAGUUAAAAAAGCUUACUUUGGAUUCCACUUUGGUCUUGAAAGAAUCUGUUUUUUUUUCUUCUUUAAGCAAUGAAGGCUCUGUUUGGUUUUGCCGCAAAUGUAAGAAAAAAUGAUUCUUUUUAACCGUGGGAGGUUAGAGUCCGAAUCAAGAUUUUGCUUUCUUAGUUUUCUCGGCUGCCAAACGGUGAACAGAUGUGCGGUUUCUAGUUGAAGAUUUUGAGGGAAGCCCCCACUCUGUGACCAAACCCCUGACUGCUUAAGCAUUAUAUAAACAAAUUCUUUGUGGACAAAUUAUGGCCAAAACGUGUUACUUUUUACUUAAAGUGUCUCCUUUUAUUGAGAAAAAAAAAAAACGACAAUCUUUCAGGUGUUUUAAUCAUAAUCCUCUGUCUCAAAGUAUGACUUUUGCCUCACUAAGUCCAUCUCAUUUUUUUCCCCUGUCCACAGAGAAAACGAGGAAGGACAAAAUUGCUCAAUCAAGUUCCAUGGCGUAAUUGUGUUUACCAUUAAUAUAUCGUGCACCCUCCUCCAAACAAAAUAUCAAGGAAGAGACGAGUCUCCUUUCGACACUCACUAUUACCACAUAUUAACCUUUUUUGUUAAUCUCUGCGUUUAUGCUGUGGCAUUGGUCACUAAAAUGAAUCUCCCAACUACAAGCACAAGUUCCCAUCUCAUUGCCAACGCCAUUAGUCAAUUCUCUGGAGCUCUCGCAUCAGUUACGCUUCUUUUAAUCCUCGUCCCGCUUCUUGGGUGGCUUUGUUUGGCCCUCUGGAUUAUUUGCCUUUUCAGGGCUGCUAAAAAUUGCUAUUCAGAAUUCUUGAUGUGGUUUUACCAUACUAUUUUUCUUAUGUUCCAAAUAUGGAAAUCACUAUUGAGUCGAAAAUUGCUACUCAACCGCCGCUUGAUGGAGGAAGAAAGGAGACUGCCGAUCUAAAAUCUUACUUCUUCAGGUCUUCAAUCUCAUUUUCAUGUAUCAUCGCUUGUUAAAAAAUCUCAUAAGAUUUAUCUUAUCUUACUAAUACCACAAGUGAAAUUAAUAAAGCAAAUCCAUCUUACACUUGGAUUUGGAUCAAAAUCUAUAUGUAUCUGAAGUUUUAGUUUACUAUAUUGUUGUUAAAUUAUAAUACUUAAUGUAAAUGAAGAUACUAUUGAUUGGAGUCUUACUUCUCCCCAUAUCAAAUGACUGCACAAACUUAGGGAGCACGAUCAUUAUAAUAUUAUAUUUCAAGAUAAACUCUGUAUUUACUCCUUAGGAGCACGACCAUUAUACUAAGGAAGUGCUAUGGUCACAACAUAUUAUUCGAUGAUACUCGGCCCACCCUUUCAGAUCAGCUGCCAAAUAGACGUAACAGCUGCAUACUUAUCAGUAGAAAUAAGCAAUUUUGAUGCAUUUUUGUCUUUCCCUUCUCCCUUUUGGUGGCAAACCUGCUACCAAGGUACAGGGUUGUUUAUCCACGUAGGAGGCAAGCGAACACACUCCAGCCCUCUUAAUUCUCUACCAUACAAUCAAGCAUGCAUCCUUAAUGACAGCAAUAACCUGUAGCUUAUAAGACAAACAGAGAGCAUAAGGAAGAGUCGAGUCUCUCUUCAACACGCACUAUUGCCAUAUGUUGGCCUUCCUUGUUAAUCUUUGCAUAUAUAUUGUGGCACUGGUCACUAAAAUGAAUCGCCCUGCUACAAGCACAAGUUCCCACCUCAUUUUCAACGAAAUUAGUCAAUUCUCUGGAGCUAUUGCAUCAAUUUUGCUUCUUUUAAUCCUUGUCCCGUUUAUUGGGUGGCUUUGUUUUGCUUUUUUCCGGGCUGUUCAAGAUUGCUAUCCAGAAUUCUUAAUGUGAUUUUACCAUACUAUUUUGCAUAUGUUCCAAAUAUGGAAAUCCCUAUUGAGUCGAACAUUGCUACUAAGUUACCACUUGAUGGAGGAAGAAAGGAGACUACCAAUCUAAAAUCUUAUUUCUUUAGGCCUUUAAUAUCAUACUCAUGUAUCAUAUUUAUUGGCUGUUAAAAAAUCUCAUGAAAUUUAUCUCAUCUUACUAGUAUCACAACUAAAAUUAAUGAAUAUACAUAUAUAUUCAAGAUAAACUCUAUAUUUACGCCUUUGGUCACAACAUAUUAUUUGACAAUACUCAUACCACCCUUUUCAGAUCAGCUGCAAAAUUGACCGAACUGCUGUAUAUUUAUCAGUAGAAAUAAUCAAUUUUGAUGCUUUUUUGUCUUUCCCUUUUCCACAAACACCAUAAAUUUCAUGAAGACUCUAGAACAUGGGGGUUGGAAAAACAAAGACGUAGAACAUGGGGAUUGGCAGUUGGCCCUUAUGGUUUGGACAUCUCUUUUGGGAAGUGGACUUUGCUGCCAAUAAUAGGUAUAUUUGUAAAAAUGGUCUUACCUAUUUUAUCGGUUCAUUUUUUAUUAAAUAUGAGAUGAGUUGAGUUUGAAAAUUUAAAUUUAUAUUAAAAUUGAACUUAAAUGAGUUAGCUCAUCAAAUCAGUGAGUUGAGGUGGGCUAGAGCGAGCCAGCUCUGUAGAUUAAAAAAAUUAAUAAUUUUAAUAAAUUUAAUAAUUUUAUAUAUUUAAUUAUAUAAAAUUAUUAAUUUAAUUAUUAAUAAUAUUACUUAUUUUAUAUAUUUCAAUGAGUUUAAUAUUUACUUAUCAAAUUCAUAAUUUUAAUUUAUAAAUUAAAUUAUAAAAUAAUUUUACUAAUAAAAAAUUUAUUAAGUAAAAUUAUAAAAAUAAUUAAAAAAAAAAAACUGACCCAACCCAACUCAUGAGUUAGCAAUGAGUGAACUGGGUUGAGAUUUUGAUGACUUAUAGCCUAAUUUAUAUUUUUUUAACUCACAAGGGUUUAGGUUAGACUGGACCCAUAUUGGCAACUUUUGUAAUAAGCAUUCCCUAUCACCCCCAAUCCCAAAAGAAAAACAAAUAUCAAUUUCUGAAAAUGGGCCUAGAGGGCUUAUUCUACUACUUAACAGAUAACAGGCACUUGAUCGAGCAGAGUCAAGAUUUUUCCUACUACUUUUAUUUAUUAUACCUGACUGUUAAGCAGCCAUCUUCAAUGACAUCAACACCCUGUUCGAUUGCUCAAGUGUUCAAGGACAAAGUAAAAAUGAAUCCUUGGUGCUAAGAAGCAGAAGGGGAUGGCUGUCAAAAGGGAAGAUUCUCUCUUGGUAUUCAAAUUUUCUUUAUUCUCUGAAGUGAAAUGCAAAUAAGGGACCAAAAUCUUUAUUUGUAUAAAUGAUAAAUGUAUAUAUAUAUAUAUAUAUAUAUAUAUAUAUUGCUAGUUCUUUUUUUGUUAUUUUGUUAGAACUAUUUUGUCGACUCUUAUCGAUUGAGCUUGUGUCUUUCUGUUUAGAUAAUUGAAAUGAUGUACGCAUCCAAGUCAAAAUAGGAAAAAGUCGCUACGACUCCGUUUUGUCAAGUGUCUCUCUCUCUCCUUUUCUGUCUACGUACGCGGAAUACUGCGCCUCCUCCUCCCAAUCAUUCUUAUUUCACUUUGAUUUGACAGUGGAUCCACCUUGACUAAGACUUAAAAAUAGUUAUUUACUUAUUAUUUUAUUCCCAAAGAAAUGGUACAAAAGAUGCGGCAAAUGACGGUUUGCAGAAAGAUUAGACAGUUUCCUCUCAGAACCCAUGUAAAGUAAAGCAGUGGCAGAGCAAGACAUAGAAUUCAGGGAAGGAAAGUCUGAAGUGACGAUGUGCAACAACGACUCAACCAACCAUCACUCCCAAAGGUCAGUUGCAGAUUAGCAAUUUCAGAAUCCUUAUUAAUUACUGCUAUUUUAGAGUUCCGGCCUUACCCAUUUCUAAAACUUUUUUUCCAAUAAUAACAACAAGCCAUCAGGUGUUUUAAUCAUAAACCUCUAUCUCAAAGCAUGUUUUUUUCUUCACAAAAUGCAGCUAAUUCUUUCACUGUCUGACAGAGAAAACGGGGGAGGACUAAAUUGCUCCAUCAAGUUCCAUGCUGUAGUUGUGUUUACCAUUAAUACAUCAUGCACACUCCUCCAGACAAAAUAUCAAGGAAGAGACGAGUCUCCUUUCGACACCCACUAUUGCCAUAUGUCGACCUUCUUCGUUAAUCUCUGCAUAUAUGUUGUGGCAUUGGUCACUAAAAUGAAUCUCUCAGCUACCAGCACAAGUUCCCAUCUCAUAUUCAAUGCCAUCAAUCAAUUAUCUGGAGCUCUUGCGUUAGUUAUACUUCUUUUAAUCCUCGUCCCACUUAUUGGAUGGCUUAGUUUUGCCCUCUGGGUUGUUUGCGUUGUCUGGACUGCUAAAGAAUGCCAUCCACAAUUCUUAAGAUGGUUUUACCAAACUGUAUCUCGUAUAUUUAAUAUAUGGAAAUUAUUACUAGGACGCCGCUUGAUGAAGGAGGAAAAGAGGCUCCCCAUCUGAAAUCUUACUUCUCUAGGUCCUUAAUAUUAUAUUCAUGUAUUAUCGGCUGCGAAGAAAUCCCAUAAGAUUUAUCUUAUCUUGCUAGUACGGAAAGUAAAAUUAAUAAAGCAAACACUUGAAUUUGGGUCAAAAUAAAUAUGAAGUUCUAGUUUAGUAUACUGUUGUUAAAUGAUAAUACUUAAUGUAAAACAAGAUAUCAUUGUUUGGAGUCUUAUUUCUCCCAUAUCAAAUGGCUGUACAAACUUUAUAUUAUCUUUUUCUUCAAGAUAAAUUCUGUAUUUACGCCUUGGGGAGCACGACCAUUGUAAUAAGGUAUUGCUAUGGUCACAACAUAUUAUUAGAUGAUAACUCAGACCACCCUUCAGAUCAGCUGCAAAAUUGACGCAAUUGAUCAGUAGAAAUGACCAAUUUUGAUGCAUAUUUGUCUUGCCCUUUCUCCCUUUUUGUUGCAAACCCGCUACCAAGGUACAGGGCUGCUCUUUCAUGUAGGAGGCAAGAGAACACACUCCAGCCUUGUUAAUUCUCUACCAUACAAUCAAGCAUCCAUCUUUAAUGACAGCAAUAACCUGUAAGCUUAAAAGACAAACAAAGAGCAAUGCAAGAGCAUGGGGAAUAAAUGUCUACAUAGCAAAACAUAAUUGAAUACCUUCAUAACAAUAACAGCAUCUCAUACAAACGAACUUGCAACUCUUUGCACGCUUUGAACUUGACAAUCACCUCAGCUCAAAACUAUGAGCUCGGCAGACUUUCCCUUCAGAAGUUGCAAAAAAAUUGAUGCAAAGGACAAAUCUGCUUUUAAAAAUUUGUCCUGAAAAGAAAAAGAAUUCAUUGAAUCUCAAAGAAACAGCAAAUUAAAAUCAAAAUCUCUAUGAAAUUUUUCCUACCUUUGAGCCAAUCCCUGGAUUGGCCUAACAGAAAAUUGAUCACCUUAGAGCCCAUUCCCAAGGACUUUCAGUGAACAAUCAAGUCCCAAAGCUCCCAUUGUGUGAAGACUUCAACUUUACAUCAGUAAUGUUAGCAUAAGAAUGUUUCUGAUAAGCCAAAAUUAUAUAUUUCCAACUAAGCAACAUUAUUAUCAAGGGGCAAAAGAAUACCUUCCGGACAGAUAAGAUUUCCCAAACAACUAAAGCCCCUAUGAUAAAUUCAUACUUGGGAUGAUUUUUUGAAGCAUUCUGCAUGGUGGGUUAAAACAUGAAUUGAUGUUACUUGAUAGGCAGGUAAGCUCGUUCUCCAGUGUAGAAUAGGCCUCUGAAAAUGCCUGCAUUACAAAAUAUUUUAUAUAUAAGACAUAAAAAAGAAAUGUAAUGACCACACAAAUUUUCUGGGAAAGCAUCUUCUUUUAAUAGUUGUUAUCCCAUGCUGUAAACAGUUAGAGAUUAAUGCUACCAGAAAGAUUAUGCUCACAGAUCUAGGUCAACAAUUCCAUAGAGUAGUAAGCUAGCUAAGGCUUUACUUGCUAAACGUGUCAAUGACUUCCCAAAACUUUUCUCUUGCUACUAGUUUCUAGAAGGCCAAUAUGCACCUUAAUUGCAAAGAUAUUCAUGCUUCAAUCUACUAAUUCUUUUCUCAGAAGCAGGUAAAAUAAGUAUUGUUCUCCCUUCCUCCUCCUUAAAGCUAUGGUAAAACUUAAAUGAAACAUUUUAUUUAUUACAAUAAAAAAAAACUUUUUCGACAUUCAGAAGCUGUAUAUCAACCAUGAGUCAACAUUUAGAAGCAAAUUUAAGUUUUAUCAUACAGUGGGUCAAUAAUAAAUGUAAAGACAAUAAUCAUGCCAGGGCCAGUUCCGUAAAAGCUAAUAAAUCGAAAUGAAAUAUCAUCCUGACCUUGAUACACUGAUGUAUCCGAAAGCAAUUUCUCCCCACAUUAUUUGUUGGAAAAAGAGGAUCAUCAAUGUGUAUAGGAUCAAUGCUACAAAAGAAGCAUCAAAUCAUCAGCAUUCAGUAGCAUCCAAGUUAUAAGCAGUUCCCAGCAAAAGAAAAUAUUACUAUUACCUAUAGCCUCUCUCUCUGUUUAUAUAUACUCCACUUCCCUGCACAGAAAUUUGCAUUUGUCGGGGAUCAAACACAUUCCUGUACCACCAGAUAUUGAAAUAAUAAAUCAUUAAUGUUCAUAAAUAUUUUACAGUAAGACACCAGUUGGGUAAAUAUUUUCAACUACCAUAGAAAUGAAAAAAACAUUCAAGGCUUUCAACUCACCCAAAAAAGUAAAGAAAAUCCAUCAGAAGGCUUCCAAAAUUCUGCAAGAAACAUUGAGUUCAAAUUAGGCAAAAGCACUUGUUUAUUGCAAGCAGCACAAAAGAGAAACAGAUAACACAAACUGAAAGAGAGAAUAAAAAAUUUCAAGUCACUGAACGAAACCAAAGGUCAAUAUUCUUUCUACAACAUCAUAAACCAUACUUCAAUUGUCUAAUCAAUCAUCUAAACUUGCCAGUAGAGGGCCUUUCUGUUCAUCCCACCAAAGUUUUUUCCCUCAAAUGGAUGGCAAUCGUAAGUACAAAAAAUACAAAUUCUGUAAUAGCAUUGGUGUAGCAUUGGGCAUCGAGUAAGCUCUGAAUUAAACAUUCAUCGAGUAUAGUUACAUUUUCACCUCCCACGUCCACAUUAAACCACCUUAAAACAGCACUACAGGUUUAAUCUGAAGAUUAUAAUUCAAUAUAUCAAUGUUGAAUCAAAGAAUAAUUUUCACCCUCACUACUGAAAACCAUUUGAAACAGAUACUUCAAUCCCAAUAGUAAUAGAAACAGAAAAUUUAUAGCAGCCUCCUCCAAUAAAGGGAAAAAUGUCAAAGAUAAUUGAAAGUUAUGAAAACAGUUUAAGUGCUAAGUUACUUGGUUGAUAGGCCGUCCAAGAUGAUGCUCAUGCUGUAGAAAACGUGUAAUAAGUAACACCUACAAGAAGCACGAAACAGCAAGGGAGUAAAUACAAACCCAAUGAAUUUAUUCACUGAUAAAUAAACUGUCCUGACCAGUAGCAGAUUAAAGUGGAACUUCAGUAAACACAUGAAUAUCUAUACAAAAAUUAGCAGAAUGCUAUGAAGAAUUCCAGUGUCCUCUUUAAUAUUUAUUUUCCAAUGAAAUAUGUUGCUUGAACAAUCAAAAAAUGGAAGUCCACAUUCAUUUACAAAAGGAAAUUUGCCUUCAGAACAUAUGGCAUGUUAACCAAAUUAUAACUUACUAGGUUAUAAGUGAUCAAGAAGCUUAUGGUAACUGACAGCACAUUUAGGACUAUAAAAUCUUGUACUGAGCUAGGAACAAACAAUAUGGUAUAUCUGAUUCCGGAUUACUUGUAUCGUUUCCAAUGCCUAUAAACAUUCUGUCUUACACAGAUUCCUUAAAUCUUGCAGCUCAAAAUUGAAUGGCAGAAAGUAUUCGGGUAAUGGCUCAAGUAGCUGGAUCUAAAGUUACAUUGAGCUUUAUCAACUGAGCUGCUAUUAAGCUUAUAGCAAGUUUCAUGUGAUUAAAUUCAGAAUUAGUGUAUAGUGUACAUAGCUGCACAGCCAAUGCUCCUCCAGCUUAUAAUUGUUAAGAAACUCAAAGUAAACCAACAAACACAGCUAGGAGAGAGUUCUCUUAAACCUUAGACUAUUUAGCUAGUCUGUAGGAAGAUCUUCAUCUCACGUGUAGUAUGUAAAUAGACUUGCAGACACAUAAGCAGGACAGUUGAAUCAUAAUUUUCAACUGUAAUUGGUUAGAAUCAACAUCUCAGUUCAUUUCUAUGCCCAAACAUCACUCACCAGGCAAUAUGAACUUAAGCCACCAGAGUAGGACUGAUCCAGGCUACGAUCUGCUAAGAACUGUUUUAGUACCAAAGCAAGAGGCAUAGCAGCUGGAAAUUGCUCAGUCAGCUCCCUCACCUGCAAAGAACAAAUUGAAAUUUAUAAAAUAAUUUUAAAUCAGAAAUAGAGCAAAACACCUGAAUCUAAUAUGUAGAAAUUUAUAAUUGAUUGAUGAGACUCUGAAAUAGGAAAUGCCCCAAAAAACAAAUUAAGAAGAAGAAAAAAGGAUUGAACACCCUAAAGUUCAUGUACCAACUAUGUCCUAAAUGUACAGACAUUUGUCUCAUUCCUACAUAAACUGCACUCUAAAACUUUAAGGACCAUAAAGUUAGAAAACAUUUGUAUAAGAAACGUGAAAAAAGCUUGUAACGCCACUGAUGGUUACUCAAUAAGCUUAUUCUGAAAUCCAACAUGGACAAAAUAAGCCCCUUCCUGAUAACAUCCUUCAUUAGGCAAUAGUUAAACAAAUAUUCUCCUCAAUUUUCCAGGAAAGAGGCUAUUAUUUAGCAAUAGAAUCAUGUCACAGGCUCCAACGUCAGACGCAAUUCAAAAGAUUAUGUGAAGUCAAAUUCAUGUAAAAGAUUACCAGUUCUGUAGUUUGGAGUCCUGUAUGUGAUGGAGACUUGAAACUGAUGUCUAGACGAACUGAUUUGACAUCCUUCAUAUUACCAUAACUUAUUUUUGAACACUUAGGUGAAGCAGAGUCUUCUAAGCCAACAGUAUCAGAAUGAGCAUGGUUGCCACGUUCAGCACUCUUCUCUAUUUGCUCAUCUGUUGGUGAUUGUAGAUUAGAGGCCGCAGAAGUGAUUAGGUCAUCAGGAACUUCUACCACAAGCAUAAUAAUAGGAAUCUGAAUGCCAGAGAGAUAACAUUGUGAGAAAAGAGAUGGAAAGAAAGAAGUAAAGCUAGAAUGAAGAAAGAAUCUAACAAGAAAAGGCAUUACAGCUGUAUUUUCCACAGUCUUCAGAGAAUCAUUCUUUACCCACUCCUGAUUGGCAAGAUACCUGGCAGCAUGCUGGAAAACAAAUGUAACAGUUUCAAUCUUCUAAAAAGGCUAUGCCAAAAUAUCAGAUAAUGACAGCAAUUUCCCAGAAGUAUUUUGCAGGGGAAAAACAAGUCCACACACACACAAGGUUCACGCAAGCCAUACAAUAGUGCACCAACAACUAAUUACAAUGGCUGGAGGGGUAUCAUAAGUUAUAUUGCAUAUAGAAAGGAACAAGGGAAAAUGCAAAUGUUGCUGGCACAUUAAUCAGGAAGACCAAAACGUCAAUGUAAAUAACAGGAACCUAAUACUGUAUAACAAAAUCAAGUAUUCCUAAUUCAAUGUCUACCACUUGGUACGUACACCAGAUUUAUCGUAGCCUUUGAAACACUUCAAGGAAUGUAUGAAUAUGCCUUUUCUAAAGAAAAAGGGAGAAAGAGAAUAACAUGUGCUCAACAUUUUUAGAAGAACACUAUGAUAUUUCAAUUUCUAUUAACUCAUAAAAUGACUAAUUUGAAAUAUCAAGAAAAUGAGACAAUAAGUUCAAACUACAGCACAACCAAUUACAAUAAUACUAAUACCUGAAGACAAGUUUCUUUAAUACCAUUACGUCCUUCUAAAAUCCCAGCUUCUUUGAUAGGUUCCUAAAAACAAUGUUUGCAGAUGAGUUUCUUGCCAUAAAGUAUAAGCAUACGAUCAACAUAAUAACACAUGAAGCACUCACCAGAUUCCUUACUGGAGGAAGACAAACCACAAGGUCUACAUCACUUGUUGGAAGAGAUAAGCCGGUUGCACUUGAACCAAAGACAUUUGUCCUUGACCUAGGCCAUAGGACUUGGAGAGACCUUGUAACCCGCUUGACAGCCCAAUUAAUGUAUGGCUUACGAGCCAUAUUCUCUGCUGCAACCUUAAACAUGAACACAUCAUACAAAUAGUCAGCAAUGUAACAAGGCCCAGCAAAUAAUGCAUAAACAACAGACAGGGAAAAAAUCCUUGUGCAAAAUAAUGUUCAAGAUCAUGGAAACAAUAAAUUUGGAGGAAAAACAGGAUCAAUCAUUCGCUUUUUCCUUUUCUUCUUUAUUUUCUAGGGACCAAUAAACUGCUUACCUGCUUGCAGAAAGAUUCAAUUUCAUCAUUAAGGAGGCUGUGUAUUGAAGAGAGAGAUGCCUUUCGUGCUGGGCAGCUCUGUAACUCAGGUGGUUGCAGAGGAAAUGACACAUCUGGCUGCAGAAUAAUCACAUAAAUCUACAAAUUUAACACAUAAACCAUAACUUCAGAUUUGAUAUAAUGCUGGUGCUAUACUUACAUGUUCCUGAUCACGAGCCAGCUGAGACAUUGCAAUCAAAUGGUCUUGCAGCAAAGCACCAGGUAGAGGAUGGAUCAUUGGAUGGGCUGAAAGACUCUUACUUCUCCAAGAAGGCCAAACAACUUCAGUACCAUCCAUGCGAACACAAGCUUCCUCCGAGUUAGUUCCAUCAUGGUACAGACCUCUCAUACCCCAAUGUCUUGGGCUAGAGCUACCAGAUCUAACCGUUGGAAAACCCCUCUGUUUCCUUGAGUCGUUUACAGGAGACGGUGGUGGUGGACGUGGAGCUCGUGGAACACACAGCACAACCGGUGACGGAGGCCGUUUGAUCCGAGGUUGCUCCCGCCUAGUAGGAGGAACACAAGGGCUCUUAUGAUCAUGACCACGCUUAAAGUCAGAUCUUGACCUCUCCCUUGAUAUGUUUGGAAUGAUUAUAGGACGCAAAAUGGGGUAAGGAAGUGAAUCCCCUGUUUUCCCUUCAACAUCACUAGAUAAAUUGGCCAAAGAUCCAGAGGCUUCCUCCUCUGUUGCCGCAUCAGGUGUAGGUGAUGGAGAAUGCAGCACUUUGCCAGGCACAUCAUUUCCUGGCACAACAUAACUAACUGCCUGGUGUCCAGGACCCAAAGGUUCAAAAGGGGAACAAAAUGGAGCAGCAGUUGGAGAAGUCAAACCGUUUGUACUAUAAGAUGAAGAGAAAGCAACCAUGUCAUCAACAGCCCUACUCAUGUCUGCUUCAUGCCAGGCCCAUGAGCUGUCAUCAGAGCUAAGGGAUGGAGGUCUAGAAAAACCAGUCCCUGGAUGAUCAGAAGGAUUCCAAUACAUCACACCCCCACCAAAGUAUUGAUUAUAAUCUAUACCAGAAACUGCAUGCACCUCAAAUUCUUCCUCUGAUAUCCAGUGGCUAUCACAUUCAUCAGCAAGUUCUACUGUAUUUGCCAGAUCUGGCAAGUCAAAGAAAUCCCCAGAAUACUUUCUCUCAUCAUCAAGGUUCUUUGUAUUAAACUGAAAAUUUUGAGACGCAAAACCCUGCUGAAAAGCUGUCUGUCGCCUUGAGAUAAAUCCAGAGCCAUAAUUGCAAGUAAUUGGUGGUGUCAAUCCAGAAGCACUGCGAACCAUAGGGGGCCAAUCUAAACUCAUUGGCAUUGGGCGAGAUAAGAUUCGAUUGCACCCACUUUCAAUCUGAGGAUUUCUUGCCUGAUGCAUGGUGGGCACAAAAGGUUGGCGGAUGUGAUUGUGCCAAUUGUGACCAACAUCUAGGUGCAAUCUAUCAGUGGCAGCUGGAACAUGUGAAUUUAUAGAAGGAAAAUAAAAGGGAGCUACACUAGGCCACUCAUAUGAAAGGCAUUGAGGAGAGCUUGUGGGUGCAGUAUCAUAAAGUUUUUUAUCUUGCACCUGAAUCACAGAAACUUCCUCUUUAACAUCAAGUGUAUUCCCUGAUGCAUCAGGAGAAGUUGAAUUUUCCUGAAUUUUACUUGCACUAUGAGAAUUUUGUAAGUUGAUGCCUUCACCAGUGAAAACACUAUCAGAUUCUGGCACAGGGAUAAUCGGAGGCAAACGAUUACAUUCUACCCUACAAUUUGAAUCCUCUUGUCCAGUAGCAAUAAAUUCAUUCUCAGUUACAUCUUUUGAGUAAUCCUCUUGUCCGGUGGAACCAACCUCAGGAUCUUGCACGUGCAUGGCAAUUUCCUCCCUGAAAGGCUGAUUAUGUGGUCUAUUAGGACUUGAAUUUGAUUCAAGGACGUUGCUCUGGCUCAUUGUAUCAGUUGGCACACCCUGUAUGUUUAAAUUAUCCAAUACACCACUGGAAUUUGUUGCCUCAUCUUGAAAAAUAAAAGACGAAGUGGAAGCCUCUAUGACUGCCUUCUUGGAAGUUUUAAGUUCAGUCGUACCAUUGACGCAAGUGUGUUUGUUUUUAUUCUUUUCCUUCCGACUCUUCCUUGCUGCAGCUCGUCCUUUUCCACCAAUCAAUGAUUGGGUAUGUUCCUGAUGACAGAGUACCAGUUAUGCAAGUAUUUAAAAUUUAAAUAAUUAACAAGAGAAUACCAUCCAAAAGAAAAGCUGUGUGACCAUUUCCAUUUGUGAUGGAGUUUUUCUGUUAACAUCUUUCCCAUGAGUUAUAACAGGCAUCUUGCUGGACUCCUUCAAAUCUGCUUUCUUAUUAUUAGUUGAUACAGAUUCAAGAUCCUGACAUAUUACUAGAAACAAUUAAAAUAAAAUUGCUCAACACAUAUAAAUGAACACAAAAACACAUCUAGAAGGGUUUCAAUAUAAAGAAAAAAGUACCUUGAGAGGUUUUUCUGGCAGAAGGUCAUUCACCUCUGCCUUCGCCACAGGAAUUUGCUUUUUUAUGUUUCGGGACCUUCCCUUUUUCUUACGGCUACAUGCACUGAACUUAUCCUUGGAUUUAUCGGAUGAAGAGUUAAAAUUUCCUUCUCCGAGAAGUUCAAGUUUUGUGCAAUCAAGUGAAAUAACCAUGAGAAUGUCUCGCAGCUUUCUUAAUAUACUAUCAGUAAAGGUACUUAUAGAACCUAAUGCACUAAAAAACACCUUUCCCAUAUCACACUUAUUAUGAUAUGAUAGCACCAAAGUAACAAUAUCCUGAAGCACAAAUAAACUACUGAAGACAUUGGUUAGGGAAUUAGGUUUUCCAAAACGAGAACCAGCUGUAAUAAUUAUGCCAAAUUCUGCAUCCUCCAGGCGUUUUGGGAUGGUACCCAGCAGUGGUUCACUAUAAUUGUACCUCAUUGGUUGUUCUGCUCCUCCACUAAAAAGCCACAUUUCAUCCUCUGAGGCACUACCUGCUGCAUUCAGAACCUCAAGAGUCUGAAAGCCCAAAUUAAAUAAAAAGUAAGCCUCAUUGUUCACAAAAUUUUCAAGAGUAUGUAAAAUAGAUAAUAAUUGUCAAAAAUUACAAAUGAUCCAUGUGCGAGAAAUCUUUAAAAAUAUUCUAUAUACAUUGCAUUAGUAAAUCAAACUAAAGAAAGAUCCAAGCAUAACACAUUGGAGCAACACAUACAAAUUUAUCUUUGUAUAAAAGAUUACAAGCGAAGCCCCAACAAGAUAAAACGGGAAACUAUAAAAGGAAGGUAGAACUACAAUUUAUAGUUCUUCUCAGCUCUUACAACGAGUUUAUAUAAUUAAUUUACCCUUAACCAGCCCACCAUGUUUGAACCUCCUCUCUCUUAACAACAGAAAUUACUCCAGAACUCAACCAAAACAGUAAUUUUAGUCAUUAAUAACCAAAUUAAAACAGGGUUCAUAAUUCACAAAAAUUUCUCCUUUUGUUAACCACACUUAAUAAUGGCAAUGUCAUACAAUAAAAUACAUCAAUAAAAUGAGCAUUGAGAUAACAAAGUUUUAAACAAUACCAGGGAUUUAGCAGCUUUUCCAAUAAUUGCAGUCAAUACCUUCCUCCUUGUUGCAUCACCCAAAUUUACCCACCAAUCCACGCAUCCUUUCUUCCUCCAAUACACAUUUGCUGCUACCCCUGCGGCAUUCACCUUCUCUUUCAAUUUCACCCCUCUUCUCUUCCCAUUAUUAAAAUUCAACCACGCCAACCUCAACGCCACCUCUAAUCUAUUUACCAAAAAAGCCUCUAUACUAUAAUACCCUUUUGAUUUUAACCACUCUAAUUCAAUCCAAUCCGAUCCCAAUUCGCUCUGUUCCCCUCUCAGAAACGCACCGUUCGAUACUUUAUCCAUGGUUUCAACAAACAGUUCCACAUUUUCAACGAACUCUUCAGUCACCGUCAUCGAAUCGAGACUACUCACCGAACACGAACACUCGUCGAUUUUUUCACCUUCUCUGGAUCCGAAAAACCGAACCGACUCGAAAACCCGACGUUCCGACACGUUGGACUCGGCAACCCUAGAGAGGAGGCAGCGUGAUUGCUUGUAACAGAGGCCGGGGAGGAAGGGAGGAUCACGUGAGGGAAGGUCGGGGAGAAUAAUGAAGAAGCCGUGGCCACGCGUACGGAGCUUCCCCAGCAUUUGGAUAAGGAGCUGGGUGAACUUGAAAUCGACGGUGGUGAGGUGCGCUUGACGUUGAUGGACGGUGAGAGAUGAGAACCAUUUGAGGAUUAAAGACCUCGGAUUGUUGUUAGGGUUAGGGUUGGGAUUUUGGGAGAGGGAAUGGGAAUGGUAGAGGGAGAUGUGAGAAGUGAGUGAGUCGAUGACUUGGUUCUGAGCCAUGAGCGAGUUGGUCAGCGAAUUGGAUAACUGUUUGCGAGGGAAAUUAGGGUUUGAUUGGGACAUUUCUUUUCACUUUGUUUUUAAUUUUAUUUUCUUGGUCCGUCUCUCUCGUCGGUUUUUCUUCUGUAGCAGAAGGACUAGGGAGCUUUAGACAAGAAUGUAGGAGAGAGGAAAAUGGCGAAGACAGGAGACGCUUGAGAGAGAUUUGCGGGUAAUGUUAAAACCAGGUAUCCGGAUCCGGAUUCUCACCUGCGAAUAUGCUGCGGUGUCUUUACUUUAACUGACUGCUGCCUGCUGACUAGUAAAAAAGUUCCACGUCAGCGCCUUUCCGCCGCAUUUUGAGACAUACUUAAGAGGAAAGACAUCAAAUGGUUGGAAUCUCAAGACAAAGAUAAUGACAAAUAAAAAUUUAAAUAAUCUUUUAAUUGUAAUAAAAAUUUAACUAUUUUUAGACUUAAUGCCCGAGCUUAUGUAAUUAAAAACUUCACUUUUAAUUAAAUUAUCAAUUAUUACGUAAUUACAUCAAUUUAUCAAAUCAUAUUUUACAUAAAAAGAAAUAAAUGGUUGGUAUGACAUUUAACAACCAAUAAAUUUUUAUUAGGAUUAAGAAUUUAGUUGGAAUUAAAUAAAGUUCAAAACUCAUUUAAACGUAAUAAAAGAUAAAAAAAUUAAAUAAAUAAAUUGUCAUAAUACAAAGAUUUUCUUUAGAUUUAAAUCAAAUAAAUAUUUAAUAUUUGACGAUUAAAUUGUUUGUGUCUAUACCUUGUCGGUACUUUGAAGUGUGCAUAAUUUUGUUGCCUUAAUCCAAAUUUUAAUUACAAAAAAAAAAAAGACAACUUCUUCAUCUGCUCUAAUUUUGCACAUGAUCUCUACUAAUGGAAGGCCAGCUCUUUCAUGUUGGGCUUGAAGUCUGUUUCAUAUGAGUCGGGCACUAAAACCAUUUCCCUGCCAACACCAACGUCCAAAUCCAAGCCAAUCACCGACUCCCACAGAAAAACAGAAGGAAAUCUGGGAUCUCAAUCGUUCACUGUCUCACCCCAAGUGCAAAAGUUAGAGUUUCUGUCAUCCAUAUUUCCUGUUUGGUUCAAUGGAACACUGUGUAGUUCCUGGUUUCUACUCUACCGCCAUCAAAUCAAUAUGAAAAAGAAGAAAAAAAUGAGCAAAACAGGGACAAGAAGAAGAGACCACUCGGGAUUUUCUUUGCCAAUAUGGUUAUAAAAAGCAGCUGGAAUUACAUGCCAGGAUAUACAGAUAUCAGGCACAGACAUUAGAAAUUGUGAAGGACUCCUAUCCUAUAGUUCUUCAACUCUACAUCUAAAAACAAGAAUCAGUUCAAGUGAAUAAGACUUCCAAUCUCUUUGUCUGUACAAAACUGUUACCGGCGUCACUUGCCAAGAAGCAGAAAACAAGGAUUUUGUUAACCUGUCAACCCACAAAUUCAUCUCAGGAAAAAUCCAUGUCUAGUGGUGCACCCCUUCUAAGUUUUUCUUGCAAAUCCAUCUGCUUUGGCAAAACAAUUUCGAUGUCCUCACCAGACAUGGCAAAGUAUCUCUCUAGUAAUAUCUGCAGAGGGUGAAAUAAAGAGGGAUAACAAAACAGAAACGACCUUGAUUCAAAUUCGAUAAUCUUCUUGAUGAAACAAACAAAAAUUAUAACCAACAUUUGGAAAAUGUGAGAAAGCUCAUCACAUACCACAGCAGCAUAAGCAUCAGAGCUUUUCUGGCGAACAGACUUGCUAAGACCCCUGGAAGAGAAGUGAAAGAAUUAUGUUCAACUGACAUGUAUCAGACUUGUAACAAUCAACAACAAUUUUUCAACACAGGGUAAUAUCCAAUUGCAAAAACUGCUCAAGAGAACAGAAGUAAAGUACAAGUUAAUCAUUCGGUAUGCAGCGUCUGUGGAUGUUCCAUGUUCAUCUUGCAGAUACACUCUCCAACGCCUGCACACAUUAUUAUACCAACAAAUUGACAUAUCAAAAGCUGAAAACAAGUGCUUUUUGAUGCAGAUUAUGUCCGUAGCAAAUCGUUCCUUGAGAAAUUUUAGGCAAAACUAAGCAAAUCCACAAACAGUAAGAGGAUAUAUGUAAGAUACUACCUCUCCGCAGCUCGAACAGCUAGCCUUCCUGCAAGGCUGCGAACUUUGUUGGAUUGAGGAGUCUCCUUUCCAUCCCAAGAUUUAGGAAGCCCAAUUAUGAAUUCAUCAGCCUCCUACAAAUUUCCUCUCCCAUUAGAGCAAAUUUUGCAUGGAAAGCUUUCAAGUAAAGCAAAAAAGCAAUUCAUUAAUACAAAGAAUACCUCAUUUUCUGCUAUCUCGAGCAGCUGUAGCUCAAGCUUUUGUCCUCUCAAUUUCAAAACCUGGAAAGAUAAGUCAGAACUAACAACAGCGUAAAACAUAAAAACCCAGAAAAGCUAAAACGUAACAAUUUGAAAGAGGUUUGUUUGCUGGCAAUAAAUAUACCGUGAGAGGACGAACAGAGAAACCUUUGCUAAGGGCAAGGCCGGUGCGGGACAAUCCCAAGUCUACCCCUAGACUGAACCCUCCUCUCCAUUGGGGAUUGCUCUUCCGGCGAAGGGCAUUCGGGGGAAAUUCUUGGACAGGAGACGACGAGGCCCUGAAUUUCAGCUUGAAAAUACAGGUUGACGUUGAGAAAAAGGGAAGAGAAGAUGGGGAUUUAGAGAGGGUUGGGUAAGAGUUGGUUCUGGAUAGAUUGAGGACCGGCUGUGAUUGCAGUUGCAGUGAACACAUUAGAGAUAAGACUAAACAGGUAGAGCUUCGAGUUUUCCAACAUCAAAGCUGAUCAGUACGAGGUUGGAUAAGUCAUCUCGUAUGUUCAGAUUACAAGUACAAAUAGUUCUUUAUUAGAGGUAAAAUCAAACUGAAUUACAAGAAAAAUUGUUACAGAAGUUGAUCUACCCGUGUAAAUGUAAGUUCAACAAAUCAAGACACAGUACGUAAUUAAAAAUUAUCGUACGAGCGUGUGAAAAGUAUGAACUCGUACAUGCUCCCUAGAUAAUCUAUAGUUUACAUAUUCUAGGUUGAUUUGUCGGACCUAUGAUUGACAUGGUAGAAAAAACCUAUAUAACCAAGUUAUUCUACAAGAGUAAUGCUACUCAUCCUCCACUUCUAUCCCUCUUGAUAAGGCACUAAUUUAUUGUAUAAAUUCAAGAUGAAAACGACCAAUUCAAUUAUGAAUGAGAAUUUUCAAGUUGAACCAAUAUAUCAUUGCCACAUUAAGAGGGACAAAUAGCAUUUUGCUCAACCUAGUAGGCUAUUUAUUUUGCUCCUCCGGCUCCUCCUCCACUUCCUCUUCUGGAUCCUCCUCUGGUUCCUCCACUUCCUCUUCAACUGGCUCCGAGGAGACUGUUUUACAUUCUGUUCCGGUAUCUUUUUCUGAUGUUGAUGACAGCAAUGGCUUGUCUCCGGUGGCUUGAUAUUCUGCUGUUGCCAAGAUGGGGUUAUCCAUGGGAGGACUGACUGCCUUAUUUUCCAAAUCUAAAGCUCCAUUCUCGGCCUUAAAAUCAAUUCCUACGGGAGGUGGAACCUCAAACUUAGCAGUGAAACAUUGUUGCUGACUCACUUCAUUCUUUUCAGGUUCUGUCUUUUGAUUCUCUGUUUUGUUAAUUCCUGCAAGUAGCGAAGCUUCAGACUUUUCCACACUAGAUUGCUGCCAAGUUUCAGCUUCUACCUUAACGGCUUCUCCCCCUCUCACUUCUGAUGUGGCUAAUGAACCUUCAGUAAACUUAUGAGGAUAAUGGUUUUCAGAACUUGAUAAUCGUGCACAUGGUGCUGCUGAUGUUGCUGCCAGUAGAGGUAACUGAGGGGCUGCUAACCCUGGGACUUGGGCUUGACUAAGGACAUAAGUCAACAGCUGAGCUAAAACAACUUGUGGGUCAGUAACGCCUUGUUGAAUUUGAGGGAUGAAGGAAGGUGAUGGAGCAUUAAAAUUAGGUGGAUAAAGUGCUUGAAGUCCUGCUUCUCCAUAUAAAGCCCGGUGCCCGUGAAACCUCUUCAGAUUUGCAAUGUGCUUUUUACCAGCCAAAUGGCUGUUAAAAACCACAUGUGAUUCACACUUGACAUUGCACAACUCACACAUAAAAGGAAUACCCCCCUUGGGUUUGGGAGGCUCAACAGGUCUUCUAGGUCGUUCAUUACCUUUCAUGUAUUUACCACCUCGUCCCCCUCUCAUCUUACGCUUGAAACCACGUCCCCGAGCUUCAGAGGCAUCCCAUAGUUUCCUUUUAGCUUUUGCAGAAUCAUUAGUUGAUGCCUCAGAGUUAUUCACUAUGUCUUUCUGCUGCUCAGUUUCUUUCUUACUGUCAUUAGUAACAGCCAAGGAGGGUGAAGUUUCCUGUUGAUGUUGUCCCUCAGAUCCCUCAACUUUCUCCAAUUGAACAACUUCUGAUCCUGAAUUGGGCACUUGCACACUUUGCUGUCCAGUUAUGACUUUGUUCAGCUUCUGCAGCUCUUCAUGUACCUGCAAGUUUUUCUUAUGUCGCUUUCCAUUCUUAUGCUGCUCCAGGAUUUCUGGUCUGUUGCAAUCAACCCUGCACAGUUCACACCAAGCCAUACGUGGAGGUGGCCAGAGUGGAGCAGCAGGCACUUCAGUUGGUAAUGCAGCUGUAGGUGGCAUUACAGCAGCUGCACCACUUGGAUCUACAGAAUUAGGAAUUGCUGAUGUCACACCAUUUGGAGGAAAGUGCCUGCUGCCACUUCGGCCACGACCCCUAUUAUAUGGAGGUGCAGAGCCAUCUGGUCUGAGGCCACGGUUACCAACAUGACCCCGGCCGCCCCCUCUAGAAGACCUACCACCCCUCCUUCCACCCCUAGAUGCAGGUUGCAUCUGUAGAAUAGAUUCGAAGAUGAGGUGCAACAUGAAAUCACAUAGGUACUAAAUUGACAGGAUGAAAUUAACAUCAGAAUAAUAAGGUUAAAUACAUUCUCAACAGAGUAACAUAAAUUAAAACCGAUCACACAGCUGUAGCAACAUAACAGAAAAUAGACAAUGGACUUACGAGUUUUGGCAACAUGCUGAUGAAUUGACCUUAUAAUAAAUCAGACAGAUGACAAGCUUAAGACUCAGAUGCAGUAAAUUGUGACGGGUUUUGGACAAUAUAAAAAACAAACAGCACAACAAGAGAAAUAUCCAAUAGUUAACGCACACAGCAAUCAUAUUAAGCUUAUAGAACACGAGCCUGUGAAUAAGCCGAAAAAUUAAAGCUACUAAAGAAUUUUUAUCAGAGAAUUUGAAUUGGGACUACAACAAUACUUGUAAGAAUGUUCACCCAAGAGAAAACUCUGAGAAAUCAUGUAUAACGCAGGCAUAAAAAGGUCUACGCACUUUAAUUAAACAAAAAUGCUAUAAUGUACACAAAAGCAAAUAUUUCAAGGAGGCCAGAAAGAAGAAGAAGAAGAAGGAAGAAUAAGCUGUUCAAAGUCAUAGGCUAGCUUGAGACUUCCACAAGUAAUUUUGGCACAUUGCACACUAGUUAUUAAACAACCGAUCCUAUUCUCUCUAGAUCUAUAUCAAACAACAAAAAACUUGAAAUUUCUAUACAGAAAACCUAGAUUUGUUAUCUCUAUCCAUUUCUAGAGCACCUAAGACUGACUAAACAUAUGUGAUAUUCCGACUAUCAGUGAGAAGAAAUUGAACCAUAUUUAAUAUAUAAAAGCAGUGACACUUCUGUUUAGAAGGGACAGGGUUAUCCAAAGUAAAACAUCAAGAUGGCUCAAGAAUUUAAGUCCUCCAAUGAUCUGGGAAAUAUAAUUUCUCAAAAUGAAAAAAUUCAGCUGCUUUCUCAGGGACAACUAGAAUUAAGAAAUUUAAAACUAACACUCAAAAGUGUUUGGAAAAGCCUUUUUGUUUAAUAUUGUUAUGUAACUUCCCUUCUGUAAAGCGUUGAGAUGGCAUCACCCAUAAAUGCUAUAAUUACUUUUAACUGAGAGGACCUUACCAUGGAGAUAAAGUCAUAUAAAUAAGAAAAUGGCAGUUGCUGUGGUUCAAUGGUCAGGGAAUCUUGGGGGGAAGGGGGAAAUAAUACAAAGGAAAGACCCACCAGAAAUUCUAUGCCAAAAGAUUCUCAAAGUACUCCCCAUCUAAAGUUUGGUCAGUAUCAAGACAGAAGGAGAUCUAGCAAUCCUUGAGAACUCCGAAUUUAAAACACUGGCCAUGGAUUUGAUGCUCACCUAAGUCCAACAUGAAAACUAAAGAAAUUGAAACAGUGCAUCAGUAAACAAUUGCCACAGAAUAUAGCAGAUGGUAAUCAGAGGAAAAGGAAAAACAAGAUAAGUGCCACAUCCUUUAACUAUGUGGGUGCCAAAUGACUCAAUUGAAAAUUGCCACACAGUAAAGCAGUGGAAAAAGCAUAAGAGCUGACUCAUCAUGAUUAUAAUUAUGAGCCAUGGACUAAACCAAAUGAUAGCAAUCAAACCCAACAGUGCUGGUUAACAAAAUACUGAAGUUCUAGCACACAGAAAAGUUUGGGAAUGAAAAAUAUCACUUGAUUCAACGGAGCACAUCAGCAAAGGGUGCUCUCAGGCCACAUGAGCCCUAAAGCAACCAGUAAAGACCUAUCACUAUUCAUCCAUAACAUGACACCCAAAGCUACAGCCACAAGUUAUUGCAAACUUUUAUGUUACAUAUCACUGUCUUUAUUUGGUUGCUCUAGGGAUUUGUGACCAAUUAAACUGUUUGUCUUCUAAUAUCUUGCAAGUAAAGGGGAUGAGUGCCAAGAAUUCAGUACCUAUAAGCUCUGUUGACCAAUGGACAUUCCCAUAUAAGCCUGAUGGAGCACGACAAGACAUUUACUCCAACAUAUAUGAUAUCAAUAUUAUGGAAGCCAAGCUAUUACAUAUCCUUCAACCUAGCAUAAAGACUGCAAAUAAUAAAAUAGACAACAUAUUCAAUCAGUAUGUAAAAUAUUUGAGGAAAGCCAAGCAUGGGAUCCUUGAGCUCCUCAGAAACAAAAUAAAAAGGGGUGACUCCACCUUGAGCCGAUCCAACAAAAUCUUAUUUGAGCUAAAACUCAAAUGGACUCAGCCCAGUCCUUUGAUAAGAAAUCUUUGCUGUACAAUUCUCUUAAUUUGCUACAAGAUACCAAGGCUUUAAAACAAGAAGCAAUCUAUGCCCAGUCAUAUGUAGCAUUGGUACUCUAAAGAUAGACAAACACGAAUUAAUACAGCAAAGACUUUAACAAGAUCAUAUAUAGUUGCUUAAGCUAGGCUCAUUUUAACUUAGAAACUGGGCAAAGUGCUAAACUGAGCCAAGUCCAGGCAACUGAUUGUUAUUGACAGUCCAAAUACCAUAUCCACACAUCACAUCAACCAACAAACAUUGUUAAUUCAUCCAUUAACAAGUUUCAGAAGCAAAGCAUUUUCCAAACCAUGAUUCUUACCAUGUCUUAGCUAAUCCAAUUACAAUACAAUUUCCAAUCACAACAUUGGCCAUUUUGGACACCAAUGACAAGUCUCGUUCUUCCAUGAACAUCAAAUUUUAAAACUUUUCAAGCAAUUUAAACAAAUUGGCAAUCACCAAACUUUUAGAAAAAUAAAAUAAGAUAAUUCGAAUAUAUUGUUCUUCAGGAUUCAACCUUAUGGCUCAUAGAAGAAAAUGUAUAUACAAAAGAACCCUAACCUGAGGGGGCCAAUUAUCCCUCUGGGCCAAAUCCAUAUUCCCCACAAAAUUCGCCGUCGCAAAGCCGGAAUCCGAUCCCGUCACCGGAAUUACCUGCUGCUGCUGCUGCUGCUGCUGAGGCUCCACUGCAGGCUGCGGUUGAUAGUAAACGGUUGGCUGAUUGCGGUGGGCAGCGUCCAAGGGGACGCCGGGAGGGUGAAUGGGAGCAGCGUCUUGACAAAACAGCGAGUAUUGUUGGGAAGAAGAAUCUUGAGGAGGAGGGUAAUACUGGUAUUGCUGUUGUUGUCGUCCUUGAUCAUAUUGAUACUGGUGUUGAUUGGUGUAGGAAUAGUAGGCGGCUGAUUGAUCGUACUGGGAAGGAUCAUAUGCCUGCUGAUAUUGGUAUUGCUGUUGGGAGGGUUGCUGCUUCGCCGUGUACUCCAUCACUCUUCCGCAACUUUUCUUUGAACCAAAACAAAGAAUUGCAUAAACAAAAUAAUGUCCCCGCAAGAGAAAUUGAAAUGGAUAUAUCCUCCUAAAUUGGCAAAGGUCGUGAAUAUAUUCUCCUAGAUUGCUUAUUCUUUUUUGUUUGUGCAUUGUUUGGGAAAAUUGCAUUUGGUGUCCCCGGAUCUUGUUUAUUGACGGCCACAUACUUCGAAAAUUACAAUAUUAUUUAUUUAUUAUUCAUUUCUCAUGCCACCUUAUUUUAUUUUAAUUUAAAAUAAUUAUCAUCUAAAUCCCGAAUUAAUCAUUCUUGACCCAAAAUAAAAAAAUUAAAUAAUUACUUUAUGAAAUAAUUAUUUUAUUCCGUUUAUACAAUUUCGUUUUAUCAUUUUUAUUUAACAUAAUUUUAUUUCACUAUUCGAUUCAUGAAAUAGUUAUUUCGUUCCGUGUUUAUCGAAUCCGAAUGGUUGGACUGAGAAAAAGAGGAAUUCCAAUUCUCCAAUGGGUGAAAUAUUUUCAACUUGCCUGAUAAGUAUCACUUUGAUGUGAGAUUGAUGACAAAUGUAUUGGUAUCAUUAUCUGCAUGGAGGACGACAAAUGAAUGAAGAUGGAGGCAACAAAGCAUCCAGAUAUCCCAUAUUUUAUUAUGCUAUAUAAUAUAAUUAUUAUUCAGAUUUAACGGGAAAAAAAAUUACUAGUACUACUACUGGUUUAGACUUUAGAAAUGGAACCAAAAGAAUAUGUAUUUUCAGUCUUCAGUUAGCAACUUCUUCAAAUUUAUAUGAGGGAUGAGCCCUCUUUUGGCGCCUCUUUGGUCCAUCGCAUGGCCCUUGCAUGAUGAACGAACCGUUUCCUGUACAAGAACGCAGUUACAUGCCCAUGUCAUUGGUUUCUCAAACGAAGGAAUGGCCGCAACACCAGGGGCAUUCAGACCAAUUCUUGGCCUAAAAAGUACAUAUAUAACAGGAUCAUGAAGGGGUUUCACCAAAAACAGAAACUCCCGAUCAGUGCCAUCCGUCAUUCCCCCAUCUCCCUUUCCCGCGGCAAAAUGGGGUGAUUAUAGUAUACACAACAAUAACCGGAGCACACCUCAAAGCUUGAUUUCGUGAAGGUCUUCACCGGAAUUAGUGUCAGCAUAUGACGAUGAAGGCAUAACUAGGGCUUCUCCUAGAGGUUUUAUUUCCCUUGUCUUAGAAAGAUUGGAAGCAUCAUUGAGGCUUCCGCUCCAGGAUGCUGUACGUCGAGAGUUGCUGUCUUCUACUGCUGCUACCCUUUUGUGCACUAUAUUAUCCACACUAGGAAACCGCUGCAUAGUCACUGAUGAUGAUGAUGAUGAUAGUGAUACUGAUGCAGAUGCUGGUGUUGAGAAUGAUGGUACUGGAGAUGAUGAAUCUUGAUUAAAAGAUGAUGGUGAACUUUCAUUGGUCAGGACUGCUUCCUGAAUGUUUUCCCCAGUCUUUUUAACCAUCUCUUCAGUAGGUGUAACAGGAGAAGGGAUGAAAAACUUAGGACUAGAACCGGAAACAGGUUUGGCAGAUGGAAUAGAAGGUGACUGGAAUAAAUUUACAGGGCUUCCCCGACUCUUGUUGAAUGUGUCAACGUACCUGAAAUAAUUUUAAAAAGUUCGAUUAAAGGAGAAAAUUUAAGUUAAAACAUAGACUAACAACUAAUGAUAAUUAAAUUAGUACAAGAAAGAGAACACUGAGACAGCCACAAGCUAAGGAGAAUAAGCAUUCAAGUACUGAUAGUUGAAUGCCCCCACCUUCCACACCCCACAGGGAGAGAGUGCUCAUAACAACCUAAUAAGUUAAUUAAUGCUAAUACCUUGAGCGAACACCCAUACGUGCACGAGCAGAAUACUGGUUUGAACUGGGUGGAAUUGGUGGAAUUCCUGAGCUCUGAUCAGAAGAGAUGGGGCUUUUAUUAUCACUACUAGUGUGAACGCUUUCGAUUUUGGGCGAAUCUUUUAUACUGAGAUCAUUCAUGCCAUUCUGGAAAGCUGCACUCGUGGGUGGAGGUGGCAAGGCUGCUUCCUCAGCUGGAGGUUCAGCUCCUUCCUCAACCCAUCUCUUGAGCUUUUCAUCAUAAUAGAAUUUGUUUGUCUCACCCAGUUUAGCCUGCAUGUUCAACAUGGCAUGCAGAAGAAGCUCAAUUUUAAUUAAGAAAAUAUUUUGUAUAAAAAAUCAUCUUUAAAAAUUUAGCUCACUCCAAACUACCUGACGAUGUGGCUGAGAUCUUAGGACCAAACCAAAGGUCUUUUGGAACAGCUGUGAGCCAAAUCGACCAAAACGAGAUGACCCACUUGACACUGCUGCUUUUUCUUGUGUCCCUGAUGAGUUAGUUUCAUUGGAUGAAUUAACCUUAUCAAAAAGAAAAAACCACCCAUAAGAUCACAGCCUUUUGUUGCACCAUUUGUCCCAAGGAAUAGAAAAAAAUACAGAUGUGGGGAAGAGUGAGAAACUCUUCUUUACAUGCCAAUUAAAAGAGAACUCGUGUGUGUGUGUGUGUAAAGAACUUCAAUCCACAGCUAUUUAAGCAGUUACCUUUCUGUUGCUAUGACCAAAGUCUGGCUCCGAGAUACUUCUACCAGUCAUUGUCGAUAGGUCGGUCUGACCAGUCCAUUCACUAAUGGGUUCCAUUGAUGCAGAAGGCAAUAGUGAUGGCAUGGUCAUUGUUGAUUCCACUGAUGCAGAAGGCAUUAGUGAUGGCAUGGCCAUUUUUGAUUCCACUGAUGCAGAAGGCCUUAGUGAUGGCAUGGCCAUUUUUGAUUCCACUGAUGCAGAAGGCAUUAGUGAUGGCAUGGCCAUUUUUGAUUCCACUGAUGCAGAAGGCAUUAGUGAUGGCAUGGCCAUUGUUGAUGCCACUGAUGGAGAAGACAUUAGCGAUUGCACCGCUAUUGUUGGUUGACUGUCAGAUGCCUUUGAGCCCCCUGGGUGCUGGGGAAACUCAUUUCCAUGAACACUGCUAUGCAAUGUUGAGGGUGGAGGUGGAGGUUGGCCUCCAACAACACGUUGAGCAGUAUUAUCAAAGAAUGUGAGCAAUUUACCAACCAGUUUGUUUGGAGUCAAAUUUGUAUUGUAACCACCCUGCACAUUAAAUUGUCCUUUUUAUUCUAUAAAGAAGAAAGAUUAUAUGAUCUAAUGACAAAGAGAUACCUGCUGGUGGAUUCUUAAUCGUUCCUCAAGAGAUGAUACUAAUUGUCUCCAAGUCUCCACUUCAGGUGCUCGGCCAGUUUUCGAAGACUUCAAAAUGGCUUGACAGUAUCUGAACCAACAUAUCAUGUAAAAGAAAUAAGGGUCAACCUAAAUUAGUGACAACCAUCAGGCUAUAUGCUAUAAGUACCUCAGACUUACUUCAAAGAAUCAGCCACUUUUCCAACUUCAGCCAGCAUGUAAGCAUAAAUAAGCUUAUAUGGCUGAAACGGUAGGAGGAGAUACUGAGAAUUUCCUAGCACCUUCGAGUAUUCAUACAGUUCUGUCCUCUGCCCAGAUAUUAAAAGGCUAGUUAUGUGGUGCUACUACGGAAGGUGGAGAUAAAAUGAAAGCAAAACAUUAUAGUUGGUCAAAAUUCAAAUUAGUAACUACUUCACAAGAACCAAAAAGAAGGUUACUAGUUCUAAAAUACAAAACGUUUGCAUGCCAGAGACAACAAGAGAAAGACUGAAAUCAAGAUUCACUGUCAGUAAGUAUUAAAAGCCUACAAUAAAUAAAGGUCAACUGCUGCAUCACUGUUUGAAUGGUUCUAUCAAUAUCAGAUGAAAGGGUAACGCUUAGAUACCUGAAUAGCCUCGGGACUAGCAUACGUUCGUGGACAGUUCCAAUGAUCAGCGCCAAUAAGACAAAGUCUUGCACCAUCUGAAUAUGGCUCAAAGUUGGUUUCUGCAACUAAAUAGCAAAUGUGCGCAGCAGCAACCUGUGCAAUUGGUUUUGAGGACAAAGAGAAAUUAUUCUAAUGAAUGCAGAGAAAGGAGCAAAAAGAAAGGAGAUAGAAUGACUUAAACCAGUAAGGCCUGUAUGCAGCCUACCUCAGCCCUCUCCUUCCACAAGCAAUCUCCAAGAUGAAUAAUAACAAGCUCAUCAUCUUUUGUUCUGUUAGCUGUUAUGAUGGCUAAGUUCUCUUCCCAUCCAUCCAACAUAUUAGCUCCAAUCUGUAGUACACAUAUACAUCUGAACAACUGAGAAAAGAUGGUUGAAAAGCUCUAAGAAAGCAACAGGCAAAAAUCCAAAAAGGAGAACGAUCUUUUCAAUGCAAGAGCUCAAAUCAUAUACACCUGUCCAGGCUGGUUGGCAGUAUGUACAUAACCAGGGAGAUUGCUACUAGGGGAAACUGUGGAAAACACAUCUGCAGGUUGGCCUGCAAUUAGUAGGCAUAAUGUCCGCAAUGGUGAUCCAGCUUUUAAUUGCUUGAGUGCCAUUAGCUUCACAGUAUCACCAUAAAACUGCAUGCAUUCGUAAUUUCAAUUAUCAGAAAGAAGAAAUCAAGCCUCAAAUCCUAGUAGGUCAAUUCAAUACUGAUAAAAGUAGAUCAACCAAGGUCCAUUCUGAACACAUACAAUAGAACAAUAAACAUAAGUGAAAUGCGAUUGCAAGAACCUGAUCACCAAGCUGAGAUGCAAUAACAAGAGCUGGUCCCCACAGUUGACCUUCCUGUGCUAAUUCUAACGCUUCUUUCUUUCUACCAGAGACAAGAAGCUUCUGUACCUCAAGAGCAGUAGCCUAAACCAAUAAUAGAUGCCUAUUAAGGAAAUAUCAAUGAAAAUUUUUUGAGAAAAAAAGCAGGACAAAUAAAAUUAUUAGAAGAAAGCCGAAAGGGUAGGCUAUCCAUACCUGCAUCUGUGCUUCUGAGGGCAAGUUCUGCAAGCAGUGCAUGAAAGCACCAUAUGCACUUGAUUGCACUCCCUUCCCUUUCACAGACCCUAAAAGCUUAGCAAUGGCUAACUCUGGGUAAUCGCUUUCCUAAUGUUAAACAAAAAGGAUAGAAAAGCAGAAAAGAAGAAAGAAAAGAACAACAGAGGGUCAGAGCUCUGUAUUAUGUCCAUGAGAUAGUUGCUAAAUUUGAGGUCUUGCGGUGGAAAAUGGAAGGAAAUCGAAUGAUUGAGUUAAGCUUAUAUUUCUGUCUUAAAAAGGAACCAAAACCUCAAAUUAAUGAAGCACGACAAGCCAUAUUACUAGUGAAAAACCAUCACAAUUAUAUAACUGCAGGGAGCAGUAAAUUGAAUUAAAAAAAAGGUGUACAAAAAUUCAAGAAAGUAAAUUAAGAAACCAAGUUAAUUUAUAAUGUCAUUCCAGUCAACCUGAUAUAAACAGAAAAGCAGAAAAAACAAUCACAGUAACAUUGAAAAGGGAAUUUAUUUAGCAGUAAUUCACCUUCAAAGUUUGGUCAGUGCCAAAAGGAGACCGAAGUUUUCCAUAGUACUGACAUGAAAUUUUCAGUAAAGAAAAAAGCAACCUCAAAACUUCUCCUCUGUAGCCCAUGCUUGAAGAUUCACAGUUCGCAAUCCUUUCAUCAAUCCACUUAUACAACUCUUUAUUUCCAAUAUUCCCACCAACCAAAGGACCAGGGAAGAAUUGCUGGCACAAUGUCUGAAAGUAAUCAUUAGCACCAAAUCCAAAGCUAGAAGCAUCACUGUUGUCGUUGACAACUUCCAUCAAAUUUAGAACAUUGAUCACACCUGCUACAGAGCCCUUCACAGAAAACAAACACUAGCUUGAUGUCUACAGUAGCAGCACAAAGAUUGUAACAAAGCGGAAACUUGAACUACCUAAAUCAAGCAAGAAAAGAACAUGACCUACCUGGUAUCCAUACACUGAGGUUGUGUGAGACAAACUGUUGUUUUUCAUGACAACAAGUUUUCCACCAAAUCCGAACGUAACUAGAGCAUGGGGAGGGCGUCCAGCAGAAGACCUUCCCUCAUUGGGUGAAGAAUAAAAUGAAGUGCUAGUUUGAAGUGGCUGUUGAGGAUGAUUUCCUGAUUUCUGAGCAUCAAUGAAAGCAGGUCUGAACUGCAUCUGUUGGUCUGACAGAACAGUUGUCUGAUUAUUAAACUGAGUAUAACUCUGAGCUGGAAUAAAGCUUUGAAACCUAGAGACCUCAGCACUGUGAGAAAUAGUCUGACUUAGCUGUUCAUAAGGAGCAACUGAUCUAGAAGGUUCAAAUCCAUUUUGUUGCUCUGCAUGAUUAUCUACAAGAGCCACAGGACUAUAAAGGUUUCCUAAUUGCUUGGUUUCAGAAGAAACUUCUGUUCCUCUCUUGGAAACUGAGUAAGCUUGGAAACUAUUCGAAUUUUGCUGAUGGUAGUUGCUUGCAGAUUCACCCUGAUUCAUAACAUGGUCUUGACUACCAAAGGCUUGAGACUCAUAGCUUUCAAUAUUACUAUUUUGAUAUCGCUGAUUAUGAUCUAUGGUUGCUGACUGAUCUACAGCUGGAGUGUAAGACUCCAACAUCUUCCAUUCUUGGGCAAUCGUAUCAUAGUACCAACCAGGGUACUGGGGAUCAAACACCAUAUGUGCAGGGUACUCUGCAUUUCCUUGUGAAAUCUGAUUCCAGUAAGAGGCAUUGGAAUUCCCAAAAUCCUCAGCUAAAGUUCCCAUAACAGACUGAGCUGUUUGCUGCAAAGAAUAGGUGUCCAUUUUUUUAUUUGAAAUAGCAUCGGGACUAGCUGAAUGUGACACACCCAAACUUUCUUGUGAAUUCAUGGUUGCAUUCACAUCAUAUCCCUCUACCUGAUACCAUUGCCCAGUAUUUGAGUCAUAUCUCCAUCCAGGGUAAAGAUUUUCCCAGUACUGACUGUUGCUCAAAUCUUGCCCAUCAACAUUUUGUUCUGAUCCCACACCAUAGUAUUGAACAUCAUUAUUUUGCAGAUAGCUAGAAGCAGUCAAAUCAGAAACUGAAUCCCCUGAUACACCAGCAGUAGUGUUAAAUUCCAUUGCCGAAUCAUCCUUAAUCCCCACUUCAGCAAAAGGGUCUUCAGAAUUAUCCCCCAAAUCAUUAAAAAUUUCAGAGUAUGUCCUAAAUCCACCACUACUGUGAAUAUUUGUAUCAGAGUUAAAAGAGCUCCACUGAACCUCUUUCACACCAGUACCCGAAGCUACACCACUCUUACUGGUUUCUCUAUCCAAUACACCCUCCUCUCCCAACCCAAUUUCACUACACUCCUUCACAUUACUAGGUGCCACUGAACUGCUCUCAUUAGCAGCCACAGUAUCCUCAUUAGCAUCCAAUAAUGCCGAAUCACCACCAUCUUCUCCACCCUUUUCUGCUUCUAAACUAAAAUCAACAUCCUUCCCAUCAGAAUCAACUCCAGCAGGGCUGGUUUCACUAAUAGUCAAAUUAGAAAAAGCUUUUACUUCCUGCGAAUCAAUAGCUUCGACUACAAAAUUUUGGCUGGAUCCAGUAAAAUCAAAGUCGUCGUCAUCAUUGACCAACUUGUCAAAAAAAUCCUCAUCCAACUGAUCCUCCACUUCAAAUGGAGGAGAUGCCAUCUAAUAAUCAAAAACCUAAACUCUUCCUAUUAAUGCUCCCCUUUCACAAUUCCACUCCCCUCCUAUAAACUCACCAGCAUUCUAUUCACUGUAUAAAUAUAAAAUACCGCUUACAGAAAUCCAAAACAACCAAAUCCCAUUUAAUACCUGCCAAAAAAAACCCAAAACACAUGACCUGAAUUAGUGAUUUGGGUUUUUGAAAGACUUCUUUUCUGCUUAAACAAAUCCCAGUAAAAAACAAAAGAACUAGUUGAAUUCCCAGUUAAAAAAAGAAAAACACUCAAUAAAUAAAACCCAAUGAGGGAAAAACUCGAAAGGAAACAGAAGUGAAAGAGAGAGAUCGAGUUACCUUGGAAGAUAGAAAUAGAAUUUGGCAGAAGAGAGAGCGGCAGAAGAUUAAAAGAGAGAUUGCAGACAAAAAGUGGAUUUUGGCGCAGAGAGAUUGCCUCGCCCCUCAAAAACACUAAAUUAAUUUUGCCAAAUAAUUAUACUCCUUUACUUCCGUGUACAAGACUUUUUGGCAGCACGUGACGGCCCUGCAUUGACCAAAAUUUUUCUUUUGUAUAAUAAGCAAAAAUCUAGGUUGUAGCUGACAGUUUCAUUUUAAGUGAGACCCAUAAAUUUAAUUUUAUUUUUUAAAAUUUUAAUUAUUAAUUUUUAAAUAAAAUAUUUUUAUUUUAAAAUUUUAAUCAAAAUUAUACGAAAACUUAUUAAUUUUUUAAAUAAACACUCCGUUUUAAAAAAAGUCUUCAUUAGGUAUAUAAAUCUGUUUUCGUUAAUUUAAUAAAAUAAAAAUAUUAUUAUUAUAUAAUUUUAUCUUUUAUUAAAUUUAAAAUUUAUUAUUAUAUAAUUUUAUUAAUUUAAACAAAUAAAAGUCCUGAUCAAGGUCCGUCCAACGGCCCAAUCGAGGCUCCCGAUGGAACAUUGGAGCUCCUUUAAGGAGCCUGAUCAAGGCUCUCAAGAGAACAUUGAUCUGGUGCUCUUCAUGGGUAGUUGGUGUGUGCAAGGAUGUCGGUGGUAAAUCUAAGAAAAAAAGCGCUAAAAAAAAUAUUUUAGAUAUUUUAUAUUUAAUAUUAAUGUCACAUUUGAACGAAGUAUUUAUUUUAAAAAUUAAUCGAUUUUUAUAUAAUUUUGAUUAAAUUUUAUAAAUGAAUAUAUUUUACCCUUAAUUUUUUAGAUAAAUUAUUAUGAAGUUGCUUAUUUUGGUUGCAAUGGGAGAUUUAUGCAUACCUAAAACCCUAAAAAAAUGAUAAAUUAAUGUGUAAAAAAUGUUGAUUUAUUGGAAAGAAAUUGAUUGACCUUUGUGUUAAUGGUGGAAAUCUAACAAUUAUAUUAUUCAUUAUUUCCUUGAUUUUGUUAUUAACCACUAAUGAUCACACUGUUGCCCUAUGAGAGAGUUGACAUUUUGAGUUAAGUAGUGAAUUUCCAAGUGGUCUCAACCAUAUUAUUUUAUUAAUUUAAUUGUUUAUUAGUAAAAGUUAAUUAUAUAUAAAAGACAAUUAAUGUUUCAACUACAUGUUAUCAAAAUUUUAUAAUAUUAAUGCUUUAGAAUUCUUAUUUAAAAAUUGUAUAAAUUUUAAUAAUAUUUUUAAUGAAAAUCAUUUAAUACAAUUAAAAUUCUUGCACAUUUGCAAUUAGAUAAAUUUUAUUGAUAUUAAUAAUAAUUUUUUUAAUAUAAUAAUUUGGAUAUAUGAUGACAAAUAUGACCAUUUUUUUCCUAUAUUAUAGAUUAUAGAUAUAGAUAUGGAAUUUUCUAAUCUAAUUAGUUAUUGUGUUCCACUAGGACACAAAUCUUUUACAAAAGUAUCUUUUAAAAGAUAUGAUAUGUUAAUGGUCAAACGUUAUUGGCUAGUUUAAAGCCAAGUGAUCACCUCAACAUAGAAAAAUAUAUUAAAUCUAAUUAAAUUAACAAGUGGUUUAAAGAUAAUAUUAAUUAAAAAACAUUUUAUAAAAUUAAUUAAUGUAAAUGCUUGUUACAUGACUAUAUUUUUUUUGUUUUCUCAAAAUAGUGGCCCACGGAGCUGAGACCCAACCUAUAUGGGCUCCUAGCUGUCAAUAUUGGACCCAUGGGCUAUCUUAGGGGCGUGGGGCUCUAUUUUUAAGGGAGUUCAUCUAUCAAAUGUGCAAAGGUGUCCAAAGAAAGCGCCCAGGCCCAAUUUAUUUUAAUGAAAACUUUGGGAUUUUGCUUAAAAAUGUUUAAAUGAUAAUUAAAAUUUUAAAUAGAAAUUUACAGGCAUAAUACUUAAAACAAAUUAAAUAAAUUAUUAUUCUUUUAUUAUAUUCAAUCAAGUUUUUAAACUUUUAUUUUUAAUCAAAUAAAUCAUUAUCAUUAACAGUUAAUUAAUUAUUAUUAAUUAAAAUAUCAUUUGUCAUGUGAUAUGUUGACAUGUGAUACGAUGAUAGUAAAUGUUAAUGUGGUAUGAUGAUACAUUUACGUGACAUUUUCACCUUUCGCGUUAACACCACGUGACAUAAAAGAUGUCAAAUGUUGUUUUGAUUAAUAGUAGUUAAUCAACCGUUAGUUAUAAAAAUUUAUUUAAUUAAAAAUAAAAAUAUAAAAAUUUAAUUAAUCAUAAUAAAAAAUAAUUUUUUUUAAUAAUUCAAAAAAAUUUAAAAACAUUAUGCCAAACUCGUACCACAAUAUAUACCUUUUUUCCUCAAUGUUUAUUACAUAUAUAUCUACCAUAUGAAAGAUGUUCGGAUAAUUUGGUAAUUCUAUUAAAUAAAAUUAAUGGUAUAAUAUCUUUUGAGAGUAAAAUUUAUUUACGAGAAAUUAAUUAAAAAAUAUAAAAUAAUACACACAAAAAAUUACAUAAAUAUAAAUGUAAGUAAAGUAUAGGUAUAAGCGAAAAAAUGGACUCUUGAAAUAGAAAAAGAAAAAUAGAAGGAAGAGGUGGCUGAUGCUUGGGGCUCUUUACGAAAGUCAAUGCCAAUUUUGCAAGUUCAUCCCAGAAGGUCAGUCAGAACUGAAGACAGGGAAAGGACAUGAAGCCAACUUCCGUUAGGUUCUCAGCAAAAUAUUAAGUGAUAUUAUUGAGAAAUAGACAGAACAUAGGAGAAUUUUGUAUAGUAAUUUAUUAAUUAAAUUUAUAUAAUAAUGUAGGUAUAAUAAUUUAUUAAAAAAUUUCAUUCAAGUUAUAAUUAUAAUAAAAUAAUUCACGAAACAAGAUUUGAAAUCUAAACUUUUCCACAUCAUGAGUAUCUCGUCGGCAAGAUUUCCUUAAUGAACAACUCUAAUUAUAACAAUAUACAACUGUAAUUUUACCAUCCAUUGAAUGUAGGCAUUUUUUAUUUAUUUUGAAAUUAAUAUAUUCACAUGUUGUGAAAUGGAGUAAGCUGUUGUUGGAAAGUUGGUAAAAGAGCUGUUACAAACAUGGAGGUGUGUAUACUAGUAAAAUGAUUGUUGAACAAACCUUGGUUUUCACCACCCAUUGCUCUCUCCUCUCCCUCCCUCUCCUUAAAAACCAAUGACAGUUUCAUUUUCCGUAUUCUGAUAUCUAAUACUUAGAAUAAUGUUGGGAUCCUGUUCAUCAUAUACUGGUAUUUGCAAUCUCUACCACAUGAGCAUAAAAGCUCAGCAAAGACAUAAAUCAGCGGAAGAGUAACAGACACGAUCACUUUAAUAACAAUCUUGAUAAAAGAUUGUCAGUAUAAUAAUCUUGUCUCGAUCAAUUCUUAAUUAAGAAAUAGAUCCAUGGCAAAGUAGGUAGAGCAAGUUGGGAAACAAAAUCCAGGGUCAGGGGGGGGAGUUUUUAAUUGUUAAAGAAGGGGGACAAGAGCAAGUCGGUAGCCUAACUUCCAAGUCCAUAGAGUAAUGAGUAGGCGUGAUUUACCAGUGCCGGUGAAUGUUCAGAAAUUUCCUCCAUCUUUGCUUUUCUCCACCAUAGCUUCUCCUGGUGGAAUUAGUAAGGAAAAACUGGGAGCUGAUUAUCCCGAGCAUUUUUUUCAAAGUUUUUCAAAGGGAGUAAAGAACCCCACUAAACCGACCAUUUCGACCGACUACUUUAGUGCAUUGCAACCUUUUAACAAGGAAUUUGUCAGGUUGAAAAGUAUGUAAUUUCUGGCUUACAGCAACUAUUGUUGGAAAGAAAACAAUUGAUCACACACUUUUUCCUUCACUUGGAAAUUACAUUUUCUAUAGUUAUCGAGUCCGUGAGACACUGCCAGGAAUUUGCUAGACUAUCACUAAGCUUUGAGCCCUUUCCUGAACAAGAGGAAAAGGACAAGAUCAAGCUUAUGGGAAAGUCAGCUGUCAAUGGAAUUUCUUCCUUGUAUCAUUUGUAAAGCAAAGUCAAAUUUCAAGGGCAGUGAUAUCUGGUUUAUCUGCAGCCGACGUAUUAAUCAGACGUAAAGAAAAAUCAAAAAGUUGAGUCAAGACUUUUUUCUAUGUAAUGUAACCUAACGUGCAGGAAAAGAUAGAUAUGUGCUUUUUGCCUUCUUUAGCUCCAUAAUUUGAUGAGGAAGAAGAGUGCAUUUGAGUUGUUUUCAAAAGGAAUGGGGAAUAAACGAAGCAAACUAAACACUCUUUAAUUUGCACACUUAAACCUCAAAGCAUCUUUUAGUUUCAUUUUGUGGUCCGAAAAUUCUUUUUCCUUUUCUUCUAUGGGGUUGUUAAGUUUCUUUGGCAUCUUAAAUAGUUUGGGAAAACAAGUAGAAAGAGAAAGAGGAAUUCGAAUUCUAUUCUUUUGAGUAGAAUUUUACAUAAAUCAAAAGAACAGUGAAGCUGGAAACCAGCAGCCAAAAAAGCAGAUCCCAAGGGGCUUAGCUAGCUAGGCAGCAACAUAAGUUACUAUGUACCGGUCACAGGUUUCCCAUUUCUCGUGGGUGCAAACCCAACACGUGCCUUUGCUUGAUCCAGGGUUAAUGGAUUUCAUGGGACCAUAUAUAUAUAUAUAUAUGGGAAUAUAGAAGUGAAUUCAAAAAACAAAAGAAAAGAAGGCAAUUUGGGUUGAUGGGUUUGUUUUUCCUGUUUGCCGUGACCAGGUUGGAGAGAUCACAUGUGAGACACACAACCACUGCUUUGGUAGUGUGAGGUCUUCGAGUGUGUAUGACUUAAGGAAAGAGGCAUGAAAUCAUGGUGUUUGUAGCGUGACCCAAAGAAAAAAAUUGUCCAUUGAAAGAUGAAUUCUCCUGUGCAACCAAUAAAAUAUGUAGCAGUAAAUUGUUUACAAACAAUUAAAGAUAACUCAAAAGGAAGGACAGGAAACAGAAAUGUGUGGAAGAUUGAAUCCCACAAAAAGAGUUUGGAGGAUAAGCUGUCGUUGUUGGAUCACAUUUGAGUGAGAAGCCACUGUCUGGUUACAUCACAAGCCUAACGUUGAAAUGUUAAUACACUGCCUCUGCCAGUUAAAAGAAGAACAAAGAUGAAGAAAAUUCUAGAGCUUUUCCUGCGAUUCCCAAUGGAACAUUGGCAGGUGGAAUCUUUGGGGUGGUGGAAAUGUGGGUUUCAUUUAAUUUGGUUGUUGGGUUACACAAAAUGGUAAUUAAGGUUAAUUUUGUUUAAGCUGUAAUGAUAUGUACACCAUCACAGACAAACGUAAGUGAAUCUGUUUGACUUUGUUUGCUUGCUUUAUCGUGGCAAUGUUGGUGGCCAAAUAUUAAGACAACAUGAUAACUCUUAGAUUUUGCACUAGUUUUAUCAACCAAAUGGGAACAAUUAUUGCUGCAUGUUACUGAGGAAUUACUGCAUGUUAAUUUUGUCGUGAGCGUUAAAAAGUGUAAACUCAUCAGUCAUCAAAGAUGUGACAUGAAAAUUUUCAGCCAGCUGCCUCAUCUUGCCCUGGUACCAUGGCUUGAAAUGAUAUUGAGCUCCACACAUCAAAGAUAGAUAGAGACCCGUUUAAAAACUUAGUAGUUUCAAAGAUUGACUGACCAUUGAGCUGAAUUCCUAUUUGUCAGAAUGAAAUUACUCACCAAGUUCAUGCACCUGGUGUUUUUGAAUCCAAAUCAAACACCAUAAGAAAGGCUUCAUGGGAAAAAAAAAAGAGGUUUCUCUCUCAUGUUGAAGUUCAAAUUAAGACAGAAAAUGGGCCAGACUGCGCGUUAAAAUCAAGCUCGAGCAAGCCUUAGAAUAAUGUUAGUUGCAUUGAAUAUGUAGUUUUGGCUCUCUGCAGGUUGUAGAAGUAUCUAUAACCAAAGACCAACAACACCAACAAGCACGCUGCGGCAAUCACGCCAAGUUCAGUGCAAGACUGCUAGAGCUCGAAACUGACCGAGGCUUUCGUUUUUUUACCUUUAGAGUAAACAAAACUUCAUCUCUCCGAAGGGAAUGUAAGGCCCUUAGUAUUAAUUUGUAAAUCACUAUGCUUACUGGCUACUAGGUCUUAGACCAAGAAGCAAAAAGCGACAAAGUGCUUUUCUCAAUGAUGUGAAGGUAGCCUUUGGUAGAACUUUGAAGAAGAAAAAGAGUGCUAUAGUGGAAAAGGAUCAGCAUUGUUGACCUCGAUUUCCCUUUUGAUUUGAUGAGAAAGUUAAUUUCUAGUCAUAAGCCGGCAAAUUGUGGGUUGGUUUGUUUGCAUUUUGUUUGUUUUCUACUCUCUUUUUAAUUCAAACUUUCACAGCCACGGCACCCCCCCCUCCUCACCACCACCAGUACUGGGAGCGUUAAUUAGACCAUGAAGUGGCACUCACUCUCACAAACCUUACCCCCCACUCUUUGAGCUUGCCUCCCGUUAGCUCCUUUUCUCUCCACCUUUUCAUCAUCAUUAUUGUUUUUUUAUUUUGAUUUCUUUUUUAGUUUUAAUCCUUUGAAUGGUAACAAAAGACCGACCCACCGACUGAUUAUGGCCAUCUAAAAUCUCAACUAUAAAGGCCAGGCUAGCCAACCAACUCAAGCUGUCAUGCCAUUGCUAUUCCUACAGCUUUGUGAUGUGUCUGCCUGAUUAGGUCAGCCUUAGAGAUAAGUAUCUUAAAAUAGUUGAAGAAUAAGUAGUAGUACAUCAUUGAAACAAAGGGUUUUCUUUUCGUUUUUUCUUGGGUGCAUGGAUGGUUGUGAAAACUCCAAGGAAAAGGGUGGCAAUCCCCUAAUUUAAAAAAAAAUAAAACCCACUUGCCUUAUAUUAACUAAUUUGAUCCCUAAAUGUCCAUUUGGUCAAAAGAGAAAGGUAAAAAAAAAAAAAAAAAGAAAGAAGAGAGAGAGGAAAAUAAUGGAAGACAUCAAACAAGGCAUGAGCAUAUUCCCUUAUUGAUUUUGCAAGUCAUUUAGUUUCUCCCCCUUCCGCCCUUUACCUUUUCUUUGUUGGUGUAUAAUUUUUCUUUUCUCAAGGGUAAUUAGGCAGUGCCUAUAAAGAUGAAUCAAGUACAUGGGAAUCAUACGUGGCCUGCUCUAAAAGAACACUUGGUAUGAAAAUAUUGACUUGAUCUAGAAUUACCCUUUUCUGGAUUUUAUUUUGACUUUGCGUUGAUGGAAUUUUCGGAUAUAAUUAAAUAAAAAGUAGGAUAUGUUAAGUGUUUGGGAAGAUGCUAUGUAGUCUGAAAGAAUCAAUCUGAUCCAUUGAACAGCCCUUCAUUUCCUUUGAUUCUAUUUCCCACUUGUAAAAUAACCCUAAGCAUCCUCUUAAUUAGCUUUAUGAGAGUAUUUUUAUAAUUUAAUAAUCAUAAUCUCUAAAGCAAAGUUUUUCUUCUAAAAAAUUGUAAUCGCAGAUUUUACAAUAAAAGCAUCGGAGUAAAAGAUGAUAAUAUAGAUUGAAAUUUUCAACAUGUUGCAUUUUAUGAAUUGACCCUGAUAAGGCCGAAGUCUUCUAUUAUUUCUUCAAUAUGACAAUGUGGGACUUGACCAAUGAUAAUAUUGAUUGAAUGACCAAAUAUUAAUCUUACUAUUUCAACUGAAAAGAAAAAUUGAUUAAACUUUCUGACCAAGGAGUCGUUUACUUUAGCUUACUAUAUAUUCUCGAGAUUAGUAGAAUUAAGGCGGCUAAUGUAAUCGAGAUUAGUAGAAUUAAGGCGGCUAAUGUAAUCGAGAUUAUAUAAUAAAAAAGCCACAACUUGGAAAAGUAUGAAAGCUUGGAAUCCUUAAUUAAUACAAUCAAACAACAUACCAGGUAGAAAUACCCAGCGCCAAAUAAGAAGGUUUUUUUGGCUCUUUGGGUAGCUCCACCAGCCACAAAAUACGAUUCUUUCCAUGCUUAAGCUUCAUGCAAUUUGUGGUGGAAGGCAUACCCCUAUAUUGGGAGUUGAAAGUCAAUCCUUUUCCUUCAUUUGAAAAUAAUAAUAAAGUUUUCAUUUCGACUAAAAGUUUACGUAAUUACACUCUUUAUAGUGUUUCUCUCUUUAAAUAUUUGUUCCUUUUUAAUUUUUAUAUAGAUUAAGAUAAAAGUUUCAUUUGGAACCCGGAAUUUUAUAUUGUUUAUACAUUAAUUUUGCAUUCAAUAUUUGAUAGUGAUAUCACUUAGCAAUUAAAUUAAAAAAGUCUUUCACCAUAAAUCUGCAAUUAUUUAAUACGCCAACAUUAUUAAUUUAACCUAAGUUCAUCACAUUCACUUAACCUAAACUAAAGCUUUCUUGAAGGAGAAAAGGGUUAGAAGUACUUGGAAAAUUUUGAUCUCAUAUAAAUGCAAAAAAACAAGCAGAGUCAUGCUCUUCCUAUGUGUCAAGUCAUCAGAACCGAUUGCACGCUAAUCUGACAUUUUUCCUAUGGCUAUGAUUCCUGCUGUCAUCUGCCAGAUUCACCACAAUCUGUUGGAGUAGAGCUGCCCUGGAAGACAGCACGUUUUCAACCAUGUCCCACUGUUCAAAAUUAAAUCAAGAGGCAGCUUGCUCAGCCAUUUAAGCGGCUUGGGAUUGUUUAUUUUGCAUUUGAUAAAGCAGUUCUAACUACCUGGGAAUUACUUGGGAGGCAUGAGCACCCCACUUGCCCUCACCCUAGAACUAGUGCAAAAAUAAGAAUCAAUUAAAUGGAAAAGGGCAUCCUGAAAAUAGCAACAAGGAAAAGGAAGAGACUGCCCAAAAAAAGUGUAAUAGUUAUUAAUAUUCAUUUAUUGCAAAAUUUAUUGGAGGUGGACUGAAGUUUCUAGAUACUUUUUCACUGAUCCUGAGUCAGAGGGAUACUUUGGUUUUGGCCAAGCUAUGCCAGACACGUUAUUCUCUGAUUAAAACAGGGGAUUUUGCUUUUUGGAUUUUUUUUUUCAUCUUUUUCAGGGUUCCCCUUUCCGACAUAUGGAAAUGUAUUUAUUGUAAAUCAGGUUCAGCUUCAAGGCUAUUAAAGUCAUUAAAUGUGACCUCUGGUCCUAAUCUACUGGUUUAGCAGAUUUGUAGGUAAAGCAUGAAACAGUUUCAGACAGAAAACAGAGCAAAAGAAGCAGCAUCAAAAUGCUGUGAAAGGAAAGGAAAGAGGACAUGGAACAGAAGCAGAUAACUGCUAACAGAGAAUUCUUGAUGAAUCUGUACAAAUGCCAGUAGCGGACAAAAUAAACAGUGUGUUGGUUUUUUACGAGAACCUUCUUUUGAGAAGGACUUUCCUUGCAUUGAGGAAAAGAACAAGACCAGUGGUUUGAAGUAAGAACAAUCAGCUAGAAAAGUAGGAAACUUUGAUUGAACAGAACCCAUUAACAACAAUGCCUGUUUCUUCAUCAACAAAAUAUCGAGGAACCCAGAAAUCCUAAUCCAACAGUGAAAUGAACAAAAAAGCAUGUUUAACUGGGCUUUCUUGGAGGUUCUAAUUGAUCAGUUGUUACAAACAAAACUUAAAGACAAUUCAAAAAAAAAAAAAAAAAGGAAUUACAGUUAGAACAGAGUAGAAUGGUCUAUGACUAACCAGAAAACCUUAUAGCUUAAAUUUGGAAAAAUAGUAAACUAGCAAAAAUCUUUAGAUCCCAGAUGUAGGCAAAAGCUACCAAAAUUUUUUUACCUUUGGAUCAAACAUUGUUGCAAACCACAAAUUCAGCAUCCGAAACCGCAGAGAGUUCAAUUUGGCUAACAUCAUCGUCAUCCAUUGGAGCAGGAAGAUUAAGAUCUAUCAGAUUAUCUACCAACUUUUUGGAGCUUUUAACAGGAGUACUUUCGGUAGUUGCUACUACUUGACCAGUUACAUGAGAUCUUUUAUGGCCUCCAAGAGCUUGUCCAGAUGAGAACACUCUAAAACAAACAGGGCAUUCAUGAAUUUUCUUUUCUGUCACAGAGCAAGCACCCACAUUUUCUGCUUCUAACUCUGUUUCAUGAGUUGCUGGCGAGUAAGCUUUGAUCUUCUUGUGACUCGCUCUGUGUCCACCCAGUGCUUGGUACGAUUUAAAAACUUUGUUGCACGUUUCACACCUGUACUUACCUCGAGUUGUUCUGUUUACCUUGCUUAUUUUGAAGUACUCUUCUGAUUCAUCUGUUUCUUCCAUAGACUUUUCUAUUUCUGUUGCUUCUUCCUCAUCAUCAUCUUGAUGUACUUUGCUUUUCCAUUGGUCCCUUGAAAGCAUCAUAAGACAGAAAGCGACAUCUUCUUCAGUCGUUGUAUCAGAGAUCGAACUCACCGGUUCAGGCUCAGCCCAAGACUCGGUCUUGCUCAGUUGGUUAUUGUUAUCUUUAAGCUUCUUUAUUGUUUCUUCUUGCAGCUCUUGACUUUCUUGUUGCUGGUGAUGAUAUUGAUGAUGCUCCAGUAUCUUCCGAGUCCGUUUAGAUCGUCUCCGAGUUGGGUUCUUAUGCGACUCCGUCUCGCUUUCUCUGUCUUGAAGAACAACAGAACCAGCGUCAACAAACUCAGGAUCCACCAAGCGGACACUUCUCUUUGGAUUCUCCCUAAGCCCAUAAAACUGCCCUUUUUCUUCUCCUUCUUCCUCGGAUGACGAAAAUGAAGCCGAAGCUGCCUCAGACUCUUCGCUUGGUUGAUUCUGGGCUACUUCCAGUCGUUCCUGUUCUUCAACUUUGGGAGGAACCGGAAAAUGCAACAUGUGAGACCUCAUAUGACCACCCAAAGCUUUUCCAUUUACAAAGCUUUUCAAGCACAAUUUACACUUAUAUUUCUCCAUUGCCAAAAAUCCAAGACGACCCAACACCCCUCCAAAGACACAGCUGAAUCUUUACCUCAAAGGCUGUGAGCUCUGCACUCUGUCUUUGCCUUGUGGGGAUAGAGUUUUAAAGAAACAUAGAAAGAGAGUGAAAAACUAAAAAAGGAGUAGGUGACAAGCAUUCCUCCACCAAGAGAUAUAUACAAAGAUACAAAAAAGAAAAAUUAGAAUAAAACUAACAAAUGGAUUUUCUGAUUAAAAGGGUAAUUUAUUUUCCCCUUAAAACGGCAAAUUUCAAUAAAUUAAAAUUUAAUAAAAGGCGUAUGCAUGAAGGAACAAAGAGCGACAUGUAACAUGCGAGACUUGCCCGUUUCUGUAUUUAUUCCCUCUCCUUUCCUUAAUCCGAACUUUCCCAACUUGCCCCUUCUUCAAGGGCAUUUCAGGAAUUAACAGGAGGUUACCAGGAUAAACCGGUGUCUUUUGCUUGUACAAGUCAAGAAAACUGCUGGGGUUUGUUGUAACGACGAAGCAGACUAUAGAAAAAACCCCCCAAGGAUGUCCUGUACGAAGAAAUCCCCUUAGCUGUGACACAGAACAAAAUGACAAGCACAGGAAAACAAAUGAAGUCUUGUCCACGUGUCAUAUUACCGUAAUUGUAGUUUUUAUUUUUUUUACUGCAAUUAAAACCCUUAAGUAUCAGUUACACCUUUUUGCCGGUGAGAUUUGGGCCAACUGUCAGAGUGUUGGUAGCUUUAGCAUGCCGGCUGGACCGGCUACUGCCCCUUUUUUUUUGCCAUGAUGUAGAUCAUGAAGUAAAGUAAAAUAAAAAUCCAGUAUAAUGUCAACUUUUGUUGGGGUUUACUUUCCUUUAAUUUUGGAUCUUUUUGUUGAAACGUCUGAUGGGAAUGAAGGGUGGGGAAAUGGGCAGGAAACUAACCUCCCAUUGAGGAAGGAGUUUUCUAUGGGGGGGUAGCAAAUGCCGUUUUGUUAGGGUUUGGUAGACCCAGUCCUAGUCCUAGUGCCACCCCCCCCGCCCCAACCCAUUCAUUCAUGUGGACAAAAUACCAAAUUUUUACACAUUAUUUGGUGGAAAUUUUCGUUUCUUUACUUUGAAAGAGAGUUGGGCUGGAAGCAUCUACGCCUUUUGAUCAAAUCUGUUUUGGUCUUUGUGGGGUAUCACGAGAAAGAAUUUGCCAUUGGGUCGUCUAAAAAGCUAAAGCCAAUGAAAUUUAAACAAUGGAAGUUCAAUUUAAAUACUUGAACAAGUUCAAAUUAGUGAAUGUACGACAAUUUUUGGAAUAAAUUUGGAUUAAAGCUAUAGCUUAGGCAAGAAGGAAAUGGUCGUAUUUCUUUUCACAUGGAAAAAAGCACUUUGGGGCACAUUAAGAUCGUGUCUCUUCAGACCAAUUCAACAUGGACAGGAACUGAAGCUGGCGUAAAGAAGACCACAUUGUAUCGCAUGCCCAGCGGUGAGGAUGACAAUACUGGCAGCACAGUGAGCUUUUAAAGUACUCUUUGAUAUGCCCUCCCCGUACAUCCUCAUCAAGGGUUUUUGGCCCAACAGGGAAGACGGGGGUGAAAUGAUCGAACAGGGCAGAGCCUGCUUUUUUCUUUUCUUUUUUUCCACUAGCAGUAUAGCAACCUUGCUUCAAUUCAUAGCUUGGAUGCAUCAAUAUGACACAUCACAGUCAUCAACCAUAACUGCUAUCUCUCAUGUCAUGAUAUCACGAGGAUCAAUUUCGGAUCUUAUAAUCAUUGACAAUCGAAAUGAUUUCCAUUGGACAUUGGGGAAUGAUGUGAAACAAGUUACUGCAGAGCAUGAAAGUAACUUUGACAGAUGAUUCAGCCUUAAUUUGGUACUGUUAUAGUUGAAUUGCAAAACUGUAACUUAAAACAAGCUAUGGUAAAAGCGCUCGAGUUCAAGCUGUAAACAAACAUGUUACAGAGAUAUUUUCUUUAAUAUUUCUAAAUGCCUGUUGAAAUUACUGGGGAAUUACUUUUAGUAUGAAGAUAAUGCAAUUGCCAGGCUGCUCUGGUAUGUGUCGAUGUCUUUCUUGGUUAGAUUUAAAAUGACAAGAACAAGACACUUUGUUGUAAUUUGGUCGGUCAUGCUUUUUCUAGCUAAGGCAGUUCGAGUGUUCUUUUUUGCAGAUGGUGAGCAACUUCCAUGCUUGGUUCGGACAAAAUCGUAAAAGGGAUGGCGUGUGUUCUUUUGUUUCUUCAGGAUGAACUUUUACUACAAUGACCCAAAAGCUUGCAUGUCCAAGACAACCUCUUACAUCUCUGUUUUCAUUGGUUUUAGCUACUGAACUUCAUCUUCAAUUCUCUUUUGUUUUGCAAUCUCUAUGAAUUCUCGUUUCCUCUAGUAUGUCAAACCCCUUGACCGAUUGAUGAAUGGAAAAUUGCUUAAUCAUCAUACUUGUUCUGGUCUAAUACACUGUUUCAAGAACUAGUUCUAUUAAGCAAUAGGGAAGGAUGAAAGGGUGAAGCUUGAAUGUUUAAGAGCGAGGACAGUUGAGGUUGAAUGUCGAAUAGUACAAGUGUUUUAUUUAUAUUAGUUUUAGAUCUCUUACUUUUACUAUUAAGUAGUUAUCUCAUGUACUGUAAUUACUCUUUUACUUCUCCUAGAGGUAAUUAGUUGGCAAAGUUGCGUUUCCUUUGGUUGCCGGCUCGUAUAUAAAUGGUGAUGUAACAACUCCUCUGUUCAAUUAAAAAUACAUACAUUCUUUCAUUUUCUGGUUUGCCUUCUUAAUUUUUCCCUCAGUUCUCCAGAGGUUUCGAACAAGUUUUGGGAAAAACGUUAUGCCGGGUCUGAAUCCCUCCCCCAAAAUUUGUUUCAGACAAAAGCAAGGUCUUUAGCGGCGAAGGAAGUAUUCGAAAGGGUCCCAUGAAGGGAAGUUUCUGCCAUUGUUUGUUUCAGGUGUGAACAAAAUCCUAGCUAGUUGGAGUUUGGGUGCGCUACGCGGUUUGUUGUGAAGCCUGUGACCCAGUUGAAUUCCAGACCCACUGAAUAAUAAUCAUGGAAAUCAAUUAAAAAAAAAAAAGAAAAAGAAAAAUAAAUGGCUGCAACUUUGGACGCAUUCCAUUGCUGGUAUCAUACGGGGGAAGUUUCGUCCGAAGAGUGAAUCAGAUUUCUGAAGGAAAGUUUUUGCAGGGAAACAAGGCGACCCUAGUCUUUUGUUUAAGCUAGUACUAGACUUUGUCACGUGAAAUUCUGAGUUGGAAACACUGGAAAUCCCUCGUUGAUUAUAAGCAAGUAAAAGUUUGUUCUCCAUGAUCACAUUAAACAAUUAAGAAUUUUCGGAAUACUGAUUAUCAAAAUGACGCUGUUUUGCUGUAACUCGUGAGUUUAUGUUUUACUUGUCGGCGGGGAAUAUUGUAGUCACAGGCCACGGAUUUCAUAACAACUUAAACAAAAUAAGGUUCCGUAAUUAUCACUCUUGGCGCAUUUGUCGUCGGUUAAGUCUCAAUCCAGGGGCCACAGCGCAACCCCAACCGCGUUAAUUCUCUUCCUUUGGCUCCAAUCUCAUCCUCCCUAUUAGACCCCGUAGAGAAUUAAUGUACCAAUAAAGACUCUAUAUUUCUUCUUCAAGAUAAAGACAACGAAUCUAUCACGUAAUAUGAAUAUCGUGAGAUCAAUGGAUAAAAAUAAUAGCUGUUCUAAUACCACAUUACAUUUUUAAAAUGAUCAUUUAAUUUAAAAUCAAUUAAUAGUAAAUAACGAGAUCUUUAUUAUAGUUAUGUAUCAAAAAUAUCUUUAAUUUAACAUGUAUGAAUUGAUUUUCUUAUAAAGAUUUGAUCUAUUCCGAUUGUAAUAAUUUAUUGUAUUUACGAUUAUAUAUGAAAAUAACUACCCGUAAACGAAAAGGAAGAAAAAAGGCUUGAAGUUAAUUAUGUUACACAUGUUUCAUUAUCUCCAUAAUGUAAUCAAUUAAUUUUACUGUUUGUAUUGCCUUUCAUGAGUCACAUGUAUAUAAUCUGUAGUCCAAAAGGAGUAGCCACAUUGGAAGCAAACCACCCAAUUUAAGAUUUUUCUAAUUGCAUUUGCUUGCUAGUUGAUGAAGUGGGCAACUUCCAAAGUCAAACAAGUAAUGGCAGGCACUUUGUAGGAAGAUUCCACUUGAAGAUAAGAAGGCUACAACAAAGCUUUCCUUUUGCAUUUGUCUCUAAAGAUGGAAAAGCACCAAACAAGAAUCAUUGACUACUCCUUCCCCUCUCAUGAUUCAAGGUUAAUGAUGUAGCCCAAGAAAGAACGAUUUCAAACUUAAUUAUACAUAUAGACCAUAAAUUAUAUUCUCCAACUUUUAAUGGUGAUUCUCAUGACUGCAGGGUCCGUUGCUGUAGCAUUUUUGGAUAUUUUUCACCAAGUGGUUCUAAGUUCAACUUGCCCUCGUUCAGCUGCGUAGAACUAGUAAAGAAGUUGUUAGGUUAAUAAUAAAAGGUGCUAGAACCAAAAAUUUUGAGCAAAGUCAAGCCUAUUGUUGCUAAUCUAGUCUAGUAUUAUUCUCUCAUACAUUAGUUUUUUUUAUAUCUUUGGUGUUGGAGAGGAAAUAGACCCUUAGAUUAAUGCAAAGAUAUUUUCAAAAAAUUUAAUUAAAAGAUGAGAAUAUGGGUAUUAGAAUUCCAACCACCAGUCUUCUCUCCCUUCUAAAAGGUGAUUUACCUAAUCACUAAGUAAAUUUGCUACUCGAAUUUCAUCCCAAACCCAAAUAUAAGUCAAAUAUGAGAUGCCUAUAUCUUAUAUGAUCGAGUCAAAACCCGGUUAAAGGAUAUCCAUAACCAUCUUUAUCACUAGGUCACAUUUAUAGCUACCAAUAUAUAUAAUAUACAUUUGAUUUUCUGUCCAAAUUCUUCUUAUACAGUGAUACAUACAUUGAUCUUAUAAUAUAUAAAAGAGUAAGCAAUGGGAGAUAAUUGAACUAAUUAAUCUCUAUUUUAUAUAUAUGUAUAUAUAUGCACUGGGAGUAUGGACCAACAAUUUCCUUUGGACCAUUUUCAUAUUUUCAUGGGGGUUAAAGAUCACCCUUUCUGCCCUUCAAAAAAAAAAAAAGAUCACCCUUUCCCCCUUACAGUAUAUAUAUAGGAUGUAAUAACGUGUUAUAUAUUCACCAUUUCCCCCCUUCAUGAUGUUUUAUUUUUUCAAGUAUUCUACUUUACCUUCACAUGUAGCUGAAUUAUUUUUUCCCCCUCGAUUAAUUCUAUCUAAACUAAAUUAAAUUCAGAACUCCAAUAAUUCCUGAUAUAUGUAUAAUCAAACUUCAUAGUUCACUUGAGUAGUGUUCUACUCAAACCACUUAAUCAAUUUAAAAUAAUCUCAGGCUCUAGCAAGUUGAAAACAUACAAAUUUGCCAUUAAACUUUAACGGCCACUAGUUUCUUUUGUUGGUUCGAUCGUGUAUUGAACUCCAGAGUCAAAUUCGAUUUUAGUGAACUUGUGGUUUCGGUGUAGAUAGUUCACUUACUUCUCCCCUAACCUACUUGAAAAGUUAGGAAUACAUAUUCAAGUCUCGGCUCUCAAUGGUGGGUGACCAUUGGGCUAAGGCCUGCGGGCUUCUACUCUUUCCUAUUUGAUUGAACUCAAACCCUAUCAGAGGUCGUUUGGUGAAAUAUAUUUUUGAAAAUGGAGUUUUAUCAUGGAUAUUACAAUACCGCAACAACUCUGCCCAUAAUGUCAGUCAUGCUUCCUGCUCUAUAGCUCGCUAGUCCAAGCUCGAAAACUUGGCAGGUAUUUAUGCUGACCCCGUAUGUAGUCUAGGCCAAUUAAAGCAAGGUAAACGACUGGCCAUGUUUUAUUUGAGAUUAAAAUCGUGGUGGACCGUCGAACUUGCCAGGACCAACUCUUUUCUGCCCGACAAGUGUCUCUCUUAGAGCGAGUUGAGGUUCCUCCUGCCCCCCCUCCACUUUGAGCAAAGAGUGGCAAAGCAAAAAGUUUUCAGAAAUUAAGUACACAAGUAGUAAAAUAGUGCAUCAACUUAAAAUCAGAACUCAUCAAUUGUAUCUAGAACAUGGCAAUUUAUUUUUAGUCUGAAAGUCCAUUGAUGAAGAGCAGAGGUUUGUUCUGGUACAAGUUCAUAUCAGGCCCAAAACCUGAAAGUUGCAAACGAAGAAAGCUUGAAGACUCUCUGUACAUACCAUGCAGAGACAGAACCCAAAAGAGAAUAAUGAAAAAGUUGACAAAAAUUACUUGUAAUAAAAUACUGACAAGGCAUCAAAAAGCAGUUUCUGUGCAUUUCAUUUUCACCCCUAAUGCCGAAACAUGCCAGCAAUAACAUGUUUGAUUUUGUAAUUACAGUUAUAUAUAAAUACAAAAAGUCUACAAACGAUUGAUAGUAAAUAAAAAUGAGGAAAAAUCUCAUAAUGCAAUAAAAAAAAAUUUAAGGGUCAGAGCCAACAUGAGUAGUUGAACCAAUCCCAACUUGCAGCCAUGGCGAUGAACCUCCACUCAUAUUGAUGUCCUUUAGUUCGCUUAGUUUUGCUAACUUCACCUUACUGUCUGCUUCGUCAUCUGCAUUUUGCAUAGAACUAUUACAAUUAUUGUUCUUGUCAUUUUUGUUAUCAUUGUCAACUUGCAGUUGGUGUUGAUGAUUCUCUUCCUUUUCUUUGGCAUCAACGCCUAUCCAAGGCUGCAAAUAGAUUUCUGUUGAAACAUCAAAGCUGGAUGGAUUAGCGUGGUUCCGUCGUACAAGAUCAUCAGCUGGAGCAGGGAGAUUGAGAUCGAGCUUAAGAUCGAGCGGCUCAGAAUUGUCGAUGAACUUUGGUGUUUGCUGAAUCGGCUCCAUGUGACCUUGAAACUGAUGAAACUUAGCCAAAGAGGAAGUGUCAGGUGAAUUUGAAGUGAUCCAAUGACAUCUUUUAUGCCCUCCCAAUGCUUGCCCUGAUGAAAAAACCCGGUGACAGAUUGAACAUUCAUGUACUUUUGAUUUUCUUUUCGAUGUAGAGGCCAAUGGAGCACUAGUUCCUUGAUCAAAUUGCAAAGUUGAAGUUGAUUUUGUGGGAAAGAAUUCUUCGUGUGUGAUAACAUCGUGGUCUUCAUCAGCUUGACUAUCAUCGAUAUGAUCAAGCCGAGCUGCAAAGCACCCCUUAACCUUCUUGUGACUAGCUCUAUGUCCACCCAAUGCUUGGUGGGAAUUGAACACUUUCUUGCAUGCUUUGCACUCAAACAACCCUUUGGCUACGCCCUUGGCCUUGGCCUUGUCCAUAGGUACCCUACAUGCAAUAGGAGCAAUGAAAUUCAUUGUAUUUCUUCUCUCCUCUUCUUUGCUGGCAGAAGCACAAGACUCCUCAGGCUCAGUGAAGAAAGGAUCAACGGUUGCAUUAGAUAACAUCAUUAAGCAAUUGGCAAGAUCUUCCUCUUCGCUUGACGGGCAAUUCGAGUUGAAAUUACCCACUUUAGCUCUCAACGACCUUUUCCUUUUAGACCAACCGCACCCUCUCCUUGUCACACCAUCGUCACCGUCUGAUCCUGGUGAGGACACAAGCGACUCGGCGUCCUCGGAGCUACAUUUACCAUGCUCAAGAAAAGAUUUCCAAGACAAAAACUCCUUCCCACAAUUCUCACAGACCCUACAGCUCUUCAACCGAUUAGGGUUCGUUCUUAAUGCAUACAUGCGCUUAUUGCUAGGUGGCACAUUCCCUCCUAAUUUGUCUUCCCAAUCACUUGCAGGAUCAUCGUCAUCAAUGUGCCCGCUCUCGUCGCCUAUUCCAUGCGCCCUCAUAUGCCCACCAAGCGCUCUCCCACACCCAAAUCCUUUCUUGCAAAUUUUACAAAAGUGUUUAAAGUUUGAUUGUUGAUCCACAAUAAAAGCCAUACAACGAAACGGGAAAAGGGAAAAUCUGAUGAAGUGAAAGAAGAAUAGGGGAGAAGGGGGGAUGAGGGAAGUUGUUCUUAAUAGUGAAAGGUUGUUGCAGAGUUUUAUGGUGAAAAGGGGCACUAGUCCUAGUUUUUAGUAAGAGUCAUGGCUUGGUUUUUUGUGGAUGAAAAAUAGAUUAGAAUAGAAGAGGGCAAUGGAGAGUCGAGGAGUGUGGUGACAAGUGGUAGGCGGAAUAGAGGCUAAGAGACUUUUUCUACUGCUUUGUGGUGGUGGUGGCGCCGCCGCCGGUCAAACAUAUACUACAAAAACCAACGGAGUUCCGUACAACCAGUUAGUGUUUUGCAGUGUGAGCUUUUGGCUUCUGUUGCAUGUGUGUGUGUGUGUGUGUGUGAGAGAGAGAGAGAGAGAGUGAAUUGAGUGAUCAGUGAAAGAGAUUAAGAGAGAGUGGUUCUAACUGCCAUACCUAUUCAUAUCCCUUCAAUUCCAAGCCAAGAAAACUAACCCAUGCUUCUCCUUGUCUGUCGGUUGGUUCAAUCUGCUUUUCCACAGAAUUUUCAUAUCUCAACACAUUAUUAUUACCUAUUAUUAUCUUCAAAAACCCUUUUUUUGGAGGGUGGCAAGGAUUAAAUAUAUAUGGUUUUCUCUUGCUUUUUCCCUUCAUAUAACAAUUCUUUAAUUACCACAAGAGGAAAAGUAAAUUAGCUUCUCAAUAAUUAGCUUUAAAGGGUAUAUAUAUAUAUUAUAUAAUUCCAAGAGGUUGCUCAUGCUAAUUAAAUUCCUAAUUAAACAUAACUAUGUCAUCUACACAAGAACAAUGAAUCAAGUUAGGGAGAUAAGGGGAUUCAAAGUACUAAUAAUUAAGAUAAAAGUUAAAAUUAAGUUAUAAUUGGUUUAGUCAAUGUUAAUUGAAGCUUAAUCCAUUAGGUUUAAGAGAAUUUAUACCAAGUUAGUAGUGAUUAGAUCAAAUUAGCUAGUCAGUGAAGUACUCUUGGCUAAGCAAUGACUUUGCUUCCAUCGGUACGGCAGUGGGUUUAGUCUCUUUAAUCAAUCAAUGAUAUCAUUCUUUUUGCUUUGAUUCAAAGCAUCCCCAAAGCCAACUAGCCAGUCAAUUAAGUAGUGACAGUGAUUAAGCAAAGAGAUAUGAUUCCUGGUUAGUCCAGGCCAUGUUGAAGUAAGCAGUCUACUGAUCAUCAACUGCAUCUUGAGCUCACGAAAAUUCACUACGAUUGGGACAAUUCAUGAUUAAAUUUGAUGGUAUGUAGAGGUUGAUGGCAGCCACCUACCAUUUUCAAUUAACCAUUUGUAUUUUAUUAUUCUAUAAAUCGCCCUCGUAUAUAAAGCAGUAUGUAUGUUUCUUGGCUAAAUUUUUAGACAUUUUCAAUGAACAGCAUGGUGAAAUUGCAGUAUUUAAUCAAGGCAUUAAGGCAUUAAUUAUUUUGAGAUGUAAUGUAGCUUUCUGUCUGAAUAUUUUCCAUUUCACAAGCUGAAUUGCAACUUUUUUUUUUAUGGUUUUGCUGAAUUAUAUUUUUUUUUUCAUUUUUUUGAUAGGCAAUCUUUAUAAGAAGCUGUAUAAUGAUACAUCAAAAUAUUCACUCGAGUCUCGCAUCCAUUACUAGAUUUGAUAAUUUUGGACACGAUACAUUAACACGACACGAGAAGACACAGGUUAAACAGGUUUUGGGUUUACCCUUAACGUGUUUCGUGUCUAAUCGUGUCUUAACGUAUCAGACACGACAAACACGUUUAAACAAGUUUACUUAAUCGUGUUAUCGUGUUUAAACAUGUAUAUGUGUUUAAACGUGUAUACGUGUUUAAACGUAUAUAUAUGACACGUUUAUUAACCUAUUAAACAUUAAUAGUUAAAAACUAUUUUAACCUUAUAUAAAUAAUUUUUAAUAAUUAUUUAAUGUGUAUUUUAACCUUAUGUAUGAUAAUGAAUUUUAUGUAUGUUAUUUAUAUUAAAUUUUAUUAUAUUUGAUGUUAUUAUUAUUUUUUUUGUUAUAAUUAUUUUUAUAAUUAUAGAUUUUAAAUUUAAAUAAUAAAAUUAUAUUUAAUUAUAAAUAUUUUUAUUUAAUCGUGUUUAACGUGUUAUUAAUCAUGUCGUGUUGUAUAUUGACACGUUAAUAAACGUGUAAAAUGUGUUAAUCGUUUCGUGUCGUGUUACACGUGUAUUAAACGUGUAUGUGUACGUGUUUUAAAUUUAAGACACGAAUAUUAAACGUGUCGUGUUCGUAUUUAGUCUUAACGUAUUUCGUAUCUAAUCCUGUCUGACACGUUUAAAAUACGAAAACACGAAUUGUCAUAUCUAUCCGUUACCAUGAACAGCUCAAUUGCAAACUCGAUACAGUAUUAAUUUGCUACUAAUUAUUUCGAUAAAUCAUAAGACAAUUAAAAGGAAAAAUCUAACUCAGCCAUCUCACCUGUAAAAGAUGUUAGAAAAUACUGAUCUUGAUUUAAAAAUAAAAAGUAAACAAAUAUAUAUAUAUAUAUAUAUAUAUAUAAACAGAUUCCUCUCCCUAAUGGCUUUAGCAAGGGUACAUUCCAACUUCUAAUGGACUGAAUCCUCCUAUAUAUAUUGGAUACUAAGUCCAAAAGAGGUUGCUUAAGCCCCCAUGGGUAAGCUCGGGUGCUAGCCAAUUUGAGUUAGCCAGUGAGGGUUGUCCAGAGCCCAAUCAUGAUCACACUUGUUGAGAACUGGUCCAAAAAUGGGCUAAAAUAGAAGCGAGAAGGGAUAGAAAUUGAGAUCAUGUAUAUAUAUAUUGACGCAGACACCAACAGAAACAAAUAAAAAGAAGCCAUCAAAAAAUGAAAUAAACCUAAUUGAACAAGCUGAUCAAGGCUUCAACCCUCGGUGAUACUCAGCAUGAUCGUCUCGCAUGCUGUCUCUGAAAGCACAGUAAGCACAGGAAUAUACAAUGAUGAGGAAGAUAAGGAAUAUGACGUUGAUACGGGCUACCUUAUGCUUCUUCCAGGAAUUCUUGACGUUGUCUAGAAUCCCAGCCUUGCACGAUUGGCAAUUGAAGCAUAGAACUUUUGGAUUAUUAUCCCAUUUUUUGCAAUCGGGAUUCUUAUAUAUCCCAUGCUCCUUUGUCCAAUUAGUCGGAUUCUUAUACGUAAAUCCGCAGUCGUUUGACGGCUUACAACAACCAGACUGCAUUUAUAAAAAAUAAGGGUUCGAUUAAGGAGUGUUUAUUAAUUUUAUAUUAAUUACAAAAAUCGUUUUACAAAAAUUAUAUUAUCAAAAAAUUUAAAAAAAAAAAUAAAAACGAAAAUCGUACCUGAAGAGCAUUCAAGGGCUUAUGGUGGAACUUCUGCAGACUAUCAUUGUGAAACUUGCUAUGGAAAUCGGUGCAAAUCCUGGAUUGAACCAAACAAGUCUUAACCUUAUUCCAAUUCUCAGCGUUGUUCACUAUCCUUUGAAGCCAGAUAGAAUAAUCCCCCAGCCUGUACUCUUUAUAUCCCUUCCCGGAUAACGACCGUCCAGCACCUUCAUUCGUCACCACAAAAGCGAAGGCAGUGAAAACGACGCCGCCCAAGAUGAAGAGAAACAUGAAGACGAGGUAGAUCCAGAGCAGUCCCGGCACUCUGCAGCACGUGCCGAUGAGGGCUGUCAAAGAUAGGAGCAUGAGAAAGAGUCCGACCAAGAUAAGUGGCUUGUCGAGGAGGCGUUCGCAUUCCGUGACGGCGUUCUUGCUUAGCAAUAAUCCCGCCGCGAAGAUCGUGAUCGAAACUAAUAAGGUUAUGAGGUUGAGGAUUCCGCUGACGUCGUUGCUCGGACGGAUCGAUGACAUGAUAAUCUUUUCCUGGUUGGGUACUGGGAAAAAUCAGGGAUCUGACGGGAAAAGAGAAAAGGUUCGAGGAAGUGGAGUAGUGGGAGUCUUCGCUAUCUGGUUGGUUUUUAAAUAUGCGCGGGGGAUUUCGAUUCGGGAAGGGAAAGUCCGUUAAAUUUGGGCACGUGAUUAAGGGAGUACGUUAACUUUACACAUUGGCAAAUUGUGAGCGCGUGAGGGAUUUUUGGACUCCUGUUUGACUUUAAUUACUGCCGCGUGGCAUCUAUGGAAAAUACAUUAUUUUUUGGGGGGGAAUCAAAUUAUACUUUUUUCAUUCAAUCUUUUCAAUUUAUUUCUAAACAUUAUUUAGAUUACCCAAUGGAUAGAAUCUGAAUUAUACCAAAAAAGAACAUACAUUUUCUUUUUAAUUUUUGACACCCUGAAUAAUGAAAUUUUAGAAUUGAAAUUUUCAUCCAAAUUUUUUAUCUUCAUCGAUCAGCUCAUUCUUAUAUGAAUUUUUUUAUAAAUUAUUAAAUUAUAUAUAUACUGAUAAUACAGAUUUUUUUAGAUGAAUUAUUAUAUUAUAAAAGAUACAAUAUGUAAUUAAAAUUGAUUAUAAAAUAAAGUAAAUUCACUUGAAUCAUAUAAUAAUAUUUAUUUAAAAAAAUUCAUGAAUCAUAUAUUUUUAAGGACGGCCAAGAAUUUUACAAAAAUAAGUGUAAUUUUCUAGAUAAAAAGGUGCUACAUGUCUUUUAAAAAAUUAAGAUAAUGAUAGAGAUAGCUUUGAUUCUAUCAAGAUAAAUUUCUAGUACUUUAAUUGAUUUGAAAUACUUUUAUUCUUUAACCUAUUCUUUUGUAUCCUUAUCAUGUGUAACUUAAAUUGAACAGAGUCUUGAAGCCAUUUAAAGCCAGCUAGCAAGGCCUUAAAUCAUCUCUCUUUAUACUAUUAUCCAUCUUUUGUUUUUGGAAUGUCUUUAAAUUUUUUUUUUCACUUUUAAACAUUUAAUAUUUUCGUGAAAAUGAAAAAAUAUUUAAAAUAAAAAAGGAAUAUUGUAAAUAAUUUUUUGUUCAUUUAUAUAUAUAUAUAUAUAUAUAUAUAAGCCGUCACGUGUGUAAAACGGGUGCUAUAUAUAUAAAUUGUCAAACAAGGCUAUAAACUGUAUUUUAUUGAUAAUUCUCCCAUAAACAUACAUAAUCAAGCAAUUAAGACAUGGAAGAAUAUCUUCAGGUUGACUAACAGGACAGUUAUAAACGUGGUACAGAAUCGAAUACAUUAUAUCGUAUAGAGAUCGCUACGUUUAGGGUGCCUUACUAGGCAUUAAAAAUUAACGACUGAUGUAUAGGUUUGUCCGGGCUGCCAACCAGCAGGAAUGACACCGGUUGCCACAAGAGUCUGGCCAGAGGUGAGUGAUGUCAGCCUGAUGGAGAACGGAGGCCGCAACGUCGAGCCGCUGUCGAGUUUCCAGACUGCACCCCAGGAUUGUUGCAUGGGAAGCCAGGGGUCAGAGUUAAGCGCCUGUUUGAGUUCAACUAAGGCAAGGUCACCAUCUCCAUUUUGGUAUAUAACUAGGGUGGCGAAAUAGUAAGGGUUGGAGCCGGCAUCAACUUUGAAGGCAAUGGACGUCCCGGGAUAGUUACAUUGCACUCUGUAAGCCAAUUUUUCGUCAAUGAACUGAGUGGUUAGAAAACGUUGAGAAUUUGACAGCGAAAUGAAGGUUUAAAAUUAUUUGAAGAAUAAUCUAAUCCCAUAGGCAGUAGGCUUGGUUUAACAAAGUCAAUUCCCAAGAGUAAAUACCACCUAUAGUGCAAUUAACAAAGUCAAUUCUUCUUCACCUUUUUUUGCAGGCUGAGGAUAUGUUAAAUUCUUCAUGGAAAAAUUGUACAAGAAUAUUGUCAUGCUACUUCUCUGUUCUCAUCCUCUCUUUCUAAUCGUACGUAGAAUCUUACCUUCUAUAUUGAAUCUGCAAGACUCCAGCGUUACGGAGUUGAUCAGCCUGGCCAGACUUUGCCAUGGCACCAAAAGCAGUACCACUUAAGUCAAAAUGAACGGACUCCGAGACACAGCCAGGGCAUUCAUCGGUGAUAACUACAGUCACAGGAUUUUCCGAGCACGCUGAAUUUGUCGUGCACUGGACCUGAAAUUAAACCAUAUUAUGCAUGUUAAACAACAUUGAAAGGUACCCUUUGCAUGCGAGAGUAGGAAAAAGGAAGUAUAUGUAUAUGGAGAAUCAUCAUGAACACAAAGGAAGUUUAUCAAUCUUUCAAACUGACAGAAAAGUUAUGGAGUUUUUGGACAUGGGAAUGAGGCAUGAUAACAAACUGAUGAAUAUAUAUGUAUAAAAUUGUAUGUCACCUCGUAACAGGCUCCACAUCCUUUGCCAGAUUUGAAUAGGGAAGGGCCCCCAGCCGACACCAUCGCCGAAAAUGGGGCUUGCUCCACAGCACCCCCAUAACCACAAGCUCCACCUAGAUACAAAAAAAAAAAGGGUUAAAUUUCAUAAAAUUAAACAAUUUUCUAUGUGUAAAUAGUCUCAAUCAUUCUCCAUGCUCAUCGUUACCAUCACUUCCAGCCCCCGUGGGGCUGCCAUACCACGUUGCUCCGGCUGGGGACCAAUCGGACUCAGAUGCUGCCAAGGAGGCAUUAAGGAGCUUAGGGUAGAAGCAGUAACAGGAGUUGAAUAACAGAGAAAAUGUGGCCGCAAAAGUGAAAAAAGAGAGCAUGUUUCGAAGAGCGAAAGCCAUGAACACUUCGAUCAAAGAAACUACUAGUAGAAAGGAAUUAGCAAAGCUAGCUAAAUGCAAAGUUUAAGCUCUGUUUUGCUGAUGGGUUUAGCAGAUCAACGACGAGGUACUUAUAGAGCCAAAGGCUAGUGCAUGUGGUUCUAAUGCAACCACUUAGUGAAGGACACGUGCACGUUUUUAGAAGGAUUUAUGCAUUAUUUUCUUCAGGAACAAGCGAAAUGAGUAAGAUCCUUGAGAUACGAAAUCCUAAUAACCUAUACUACUUUAAUAGACUUUAAGUUAGAAUUUGGCUAAAUUCCCAUACAUUUCUAUGACAUCAGCUAGAAAAGUCUAAUUACAUUCGUAAGCACAUAAUUAAAUUGAUUGAAAUCGGAAGUACAAAAUGCCAAAGAGUAACACAACACAAAACCCCAGAGAGACCAGAAACCAGAAUCAAGAACAGAAAAAUCAACUCCCUGUUGUCCAGGCAAAAUUUGUCAGAGAAUCAGAAAAUCCGUCUACUUCUCUAUAAUUGAACAAAAAUACAAUUCAUUUGAGAAUCAACCAAACGUUCCAUGGCCUAAUAAUUUCAAUCACCAUGCACACACAGUUGAAAAUAAAAGAACUUUUGUUCUGUCCAAAUCACAGUAAUACUCUUGCAUGGUUACAUCAGUCAAAUUGCUUGUUUCCAGGCUUCGUUGCCGGAGCCGGGGGAGAAAGAAAAAAACAAACGCAAGAUCUGAUUUGCUCUUUUUAUCUCUGUUUCUCUGACUCAGACGUACGUUUACAGACGAAACCUAACUACCAACAUCUCUCUUUUGUCUGUUUGUGACAGUCUACGUUUGCAAUCGACCACAAAGCGGUUAUGUCUCCGACCCGCCCCCGGUAGGAAGGUUAACAUCGGGCCCACGUCAUCGACUGCUCCAAAUUAAUAUUUUCGUAUGUUUCUUGCCCCAAAUUCAAGGGAAUACGUGUUCGUUGAUUUUGCCGUUGAUGGUGGUUAAUGCCGUUUAACAUUCCCCAUCCGAUGGACCGAGUAAACCCUGAGGAUCCUUCCAUUUCCGUUUAAAAACUACAGCACGUAAUAUUUGGCGGGGAUUUGGGCUCUGUAAUUUUCAAAUCGUUUAUUAAUAAAUAAGAUUGAUGAGAUUGUAUGAUUGCGAUUUAAUGCUUUUUUUUUUUUACACCGAAAUUGUAAGAUUGACAUCUCAAUGAAAUAUAUA
This 68980-nucleotide long non-coding RNA is filed under the name Theobroma cacao (cacao). Its description in RNAcentral is "long non-coding RNA (TCAC_LNC000639)". Lineage: Eukaryota; Viridiplantae; Streptophyta; Magnoliopsida; Malvales; Malvaceae. The record is from RNAcentral.